CUAAAAAUAAUUGCAUAAAGUAAAAGAAAUAAUACAGAUAUUGUAUCAUGAUACAUGACAAUAUGUUUUGACAAAAAAAAUAAUUGAUAUAGUAUAAUCAUGCGCAAAUCACAUGAAGUGUUACUUGUACAACAAAAUUGGUAUAAAAUUUACAAUUACACGAAAACUAUACAAGUUAUAUCAAGUAUAUUAAGAAUUACAUGAUCCGUAUGAACCGGACAGAAUUCAACUUGUGAGAGUUGGAUCCAUGGUGAUUUAGCUUGCUAGUAAAGCAAUAUGUCCGCAGGAGUCGAAAGCUAUGUCUCUUUUACUGUUAUUCUGCAGAAAGGCUUAGGUAGCAAGCUUAUAAUCUUCCUCUAUCAGCUCCUUCACCAAUGGUUGCUUGAGCAAACUGCGGUCCAGCUUAGGACAUGAGUGCAAUGUUACAGAUUCAAGUUGGCAGUCUCUCGAUGGGAGUGGAUCCUCCAAACUUCUUUCCCCUUCAUAUAGAAGCCUAAACAGUUGAGGCAAAUAGUAAAGCUUUAUUUUUCUCAAACGCGGAAGGGCAGAGAAAUCAUCAUUAUCCAUCUCAUCACUCCUUUCUAUUAUCUCCUUUAGAGACUCACAAUCCUCAACUAUUAACUCCUCUAAAUUACAAAAGCAUUGAUUGAGUUGCCAGUUUUUUGAGAAAAGUUUUUUGAAGUGCUUUCGACACAUUUUCUUAAUUAUCUUGUCACUUUACAUAUAUCAUAUUGCUAUAGAUUUUUUUUUAAACUAAAAAGAACUUUUAAAUACUCCCAUCCAAAUGGACUUUAUGCAGUUGAGCACGAGUAGGCAUCUAUAACUUGCCAAAUAACGCCUUUAUGAGGUAAAAGUUUGUGCGCGUCAAAAUGUUGAAAUUAUAAAUUCACGUUCAACCAGCUGAAUAUGAAAGCAAAUGCAUCAUAAUGAAUGAUUCGAAAUUGGGGCUCUGGAGAGGUGAGCAAUGAGGUCACACACUCUGGUUCAUGCUAAUUAAAGUUAACAAUGACGAAUCACUGAGAUUAUUUUAGUGGUCUGGGAGGAGCUAUUAGAGUUCUCUUUGCUAUCAGAUUUAGAAUUUGAAUCCUGAAUAUAAUAGUUGAAAGUGGAAAGAUUGUGGAAAGGAUGGGAGAUUUAAAAAAACAAUUAUAUAUAACAAAGGUGCAGAUAAAGGCUAUCGUUGCUUGAAAAUGUGCAUAAUACAGGGUCAAUCACAUGCUUGUCUGCAAGGAACACAUUUUAGCCGUCUUUUCUUCUCAUUUUUCCACAAGUGCAAAGUUCACGCCUUUGAAAUUUAGGAACGAAGGCGCACCUUCCAACAAAGCCUUGAUGGUACUUUGAAGGUUCGGCUUUUUGGCAAAUGGCAAUAAGGCAAUUUGAAGGCAGCAAACAACAAAGUUCGGCAAUUUUUUAACUUCUCCCUCCGUCCUACUUUAGUUAUUUUUUAAUUUUUUUAAAAUACCCUUAUUUAAUACUCCUUCCGUCCCAUUGUUAAUGUCAUAUUUUCACUUUUUGCUUGUCCCAAAAUUUGAGUCACUUUGAAAAAGUCAAAUCACUUUUACAAUUAUUUUCCAGUUAUACCCUUCUAUUGAUAAGUCAAGAUUGCACUAACCAAUUCUGAUGGACCCAGCCACAACACAUCAUCGGAAGUUAUACCCUUCUGAUUGUCUUUGCCUUUUAGUCAAAGUGACUUAAUGGCAAGUGGUCCCACUAAUUUGUUGUUUCACUCCGCAAACAGCAAAGGGUACGCUUGGAAGAGUCAGAUAAGUCUGUCCGUAAUGCUACUGUACAUAAAAAGUGCGUUUCCCAAAAAGCGUCCCAAAUUUUGGGACGGAGGGAGUAUAAAUUAUCAUUAGUAUAAACUAAUUUAUUUAAUAUAGAUUGUUAUUAAAUAUAACCUACUCCGUUUAAUACAUUUAAAUUUUUCAAAACACAUUGAUAUAUGAAUAUGCAUUGAUUCUUUCUUAACCAUCAGUUCAAGUUUUCAUAAACCGUCAAUUCAAGUUUUUAUAAAUAAUUAAUAUAAGGUUAUACUCUAUCUAAUAUAAGGGUGUUUUAGAAAAUUAGUAACCUAUAUUUAUUUUUCCAACAAAAUUAACUAUUUUUUCUUAAACUGUGUGAAAAAAAAUAGAACUAUCAAAAUGAAACGGAGGAAAUAAUAUAACCUGUUUUUUUUCUUUUUCUUUUUUUUAUUUUUGGCGAGUACAAAGCACUUUUGCCUUGCGAGCUGGCAACCGUGCUACUGGUCGCUCAUAUUUACAUGGACCAUUGGUAAUUCACUUGUGAACGUCCAUCCUUAGGAACUUCACUUUGUUUUCUCCUCGUACUUGAAAACAUACUAAACCCAAUUCAGAUAGAUAUGAGGAAUGGAUUUCCUAAUGGGAUUUCACAGUGGAAAAAAAAAAAAAAAAAAAAAAAAACUUGGAGCAGAGUGCAAUGCUACCAAACAGAUAACUACUACAAAAUGCUUAUCACAAUUAUGCUGAAAAUUUGCCUAGCCUUCAAUCCGGUUUCUUUAAGUUCAAGCAGUUGUCUGUUGCUUGCCUGAACAACUCCUGCACCUGCUUUAAUCCCUUAUCCGCAGCUUCCAGUUGUUUUUGUAGUUCUUGGCCUACCGCAUCAUUUUCAGCCUGAAGUUCUGCAAUUCUUUUCAGCUGAGCUUCUUCACCUCCCUCAGCUAAUGGAAGGGCAGCUACCAACAGAUCAAACUGCUUGGCAGCGUUGACAAGUGCAGCACUCAUGAGCUUUGGUUGCUCAGCAAGAUUAGCAGCAUCCUCUGCAGCACUAGAUGGAUUAGCAGGAGGUUCCGGAUAAUUAGGAGACAACCUAACUGGAGAGCAUCCCUUUGAAGCGUCCAAAGGUGUUGAAGGCAAGACCUGCAAUUGUAUUCACCUGUUCUUGCAGUUGAGUUAUUAUAUCCAUCUUGAAUUUUGAUACCUGCAAUUCUGGGCAACUUUGAAUUCAAGUAGCAUUUCUCAAUUUCUGUACAUCUUCGUUUUGAAUUCGAGCGACUAGGUAUUUCCUUGUUCAUCACAUUAACAACUCAGAGUAACAGACAAAGAGAGAGGUCACACAGCACUCAUGAUCGACAGCUGAAAGAAAGAAUCAGAGGCAUUCUCAUCACUCAUAAGCAUAUUUGAAGCAAUACAAGUGAAAAAAAGAAAAGAAAAAUAGACAUAUAUGGCUUGGCACAAAUAGUCAGUCAAUCAGUUUGAACACACUCAAUCAGGCCUUCCUUCCUGUGCUUGACAUCAGACAGAUCCUCUAGAACAUGACUUAACAGAUGGUAGAUGCUGUUAAAACUUUUUCAUACGUAGACAAAACUACCCUCAACUAAAACAAAAGGUUUAGCACCUCAAAAAAUAAAUAAAGACCAAGAAGCUCUAGAGAAAGUCCAAACAAACGACCUGUCAACCCCUUGUCUUCCUCCUCCAAAUCUCCCUAUUUGACAACUCCAUCAACACAAGGAGAAACCAUGUCUAUUUUUCAUACACGUAUCAUGAGAUACAAUGUAAAAGUGUAUGCUAAGUAGACACAAAUCAUUAAUAGCAAUCCUAUGCAUCCAAAUACCUCAAUCCUAUGCUAAGUAAAUAGUUCUGGAUGCCUGAACUAUUUACUUCUAGACUUAUUUUCCACAGCAAAGAUAUAAAAAGGCUAAACAUCUAGAAGACAUAAUCUACACUUGUCUAUACUACAUGAAACAAUACUUACUCUCCUUCAUUACAAGUAUAUCAAUCAAUUCAUCAUUAAAAAGAAUUAUCAUUUCCUUUUAUUUUCAAGAUCCACUUUUACCUCAGCUGGCAAGAGAAUACAUUACAAACUUGCACCUCACGAUACUCAUUGAAGCAUUUAUAUCAGCUGAAUUAUGCAUUAAUUCUAGGUAACAUUCAACAAAACUUAUGAAUGAGUAUGCAACCACACCUAGAGAUGUGAUGACAUUUGAAUCAGGAAAAAAAGAAACAAAUUCUGACCUUCAUCAUUCUUCAUAGAAUAAUAUUUCUUUACAUGUUCCAAACAUAUUUUAACAGAAAGACCAGUACCCAUCUGAAUGAGGAUAACUAACUCCAAACAUAAUAGUUGUGCUUUUGACUAUAUGGAAGCCUUGUUAAGAAGAUAGACAACAGCUAGAACCUUAAUAUGGUGUCAAUCAUAAUUAAACACCACAACUCCACAUAUGCCCAUUUCUCUAUUAUUCUUCAAUGGUGGCCCCACAACAAGAAAGUUUUUGGAUUUCCCUUCUAACAAACAACCAUUCGAGGUAAAUUAGAUUUAGAUAACUGACAAUGGAGAAGCUUAUGCUGGAUUAAGUGUCCAUAACACAUGACCACUCACAGCAAAAAAAAAUGCAAUUGCAAUGGUGAAUUUAGAUGAAUCCUUUGCAUUACUUGUAAAAAGGCAACUUCCAAAGUUGGAAUGUAGAUGACAUUCGUCGAGGAUGUUUCCGAUACAGAAAAGAGCAAAAUGGUUGAAUCCUACAUGUAACUAUAGUAUGCUACCAGCAACCUAAGAAGAAUCUCUCUCCAUAAUACCAAGGUCAAAAUGAACACCCCUCAACCAAAAACCAUACAUAGCAUGACUAUUUCUGGCAAUGUCUCAGUAAACUAGUUCAAUUAUCUUUCUCAUUAACUUCCUCUUGUCUUACUUUUAGCCCUUCAAUCCAUAUUGGAUCCACAGAGACAAGAAUAUCAAUGUUCCAUAUCAGCAAGCAAACAGUUAUAUAAAUCUCUGUAUAACGACAAAGCACACCCAAACUUUUUUCUUACACUAUUUUAUACAGCAUCAUUUUCUCCUGACUUAGAAUUGAGUCAUAAAUAGUGUGAACCUUACAGAUGUCUAAUAGUCUGACCAGUCGUCCUUUUUUCCGAUCUAAAGGAAAACCAAUCAUUCAUUUCCUUUUGGUUUUCUACUUUUUCCCUUUGGUUCUUUUAUGUCUUCUUUUCAUUUUGGGUAGGAGGAGGGUGGAGGCCUGUCUGUGAUAUUCCUUUAAGGAGCAAGUCGACCAAAAGAUAACAAGAAAAUCUCAAAUUGAUUAAGCAACAUGUUUCACUAGCCAUUAAAUGCUCUAUGACAAGCAUAUUCAGAAUCUGCUUUAAAUCUAAACUUGUGCAGUCACAAUUAAAUGGAUACCCCGACAUCUAGGAUAAAUGAUAAUAGGAGGUUAAUGCCAAAAGGCCCAAAUUUAACAAUUCAUUGACAACAAAUUAACACAGAUGCAUUCAUUGGGGCAAACUAACCAAGGAAUACAAGUAUUUACCUCAGUUUUAUACUUAGCUAUUGGCUGUACCAGAGGGCACGACUAAUCUAGGCUCCAACACUUUGAAUUUCUUAAACACAUUUUGCUGCAGAAGACAAAAUUUACACCAUAUAGAAAUGAACAUUCGAAAAGAAUUUGAAUCAUAUAUAAUUCCCAUAAAAAUAGAAUAAUAAACCAAGUGUCAUGUUCUCAAACACAUACGAAACAGAUGUGCAUGCCACAGUUUUCAAAGUAAAAAGACAAUGACAACUUUUCAAAAACCUGCAGCUAUAAAUCACGGAACAAUCACAGCUACACUUAUACGAGGUAGGCAUAAAUAGUGGCUCAACGCCCACAAACAUCUAGCGUCUUUUUAAGAAAAGAAAAAGGCAAGCACAAGCAGCAUAUGAUUGAGUGCACAAUGUAACUAAAAGAAGCAACCCUCAGAAAUUUAAUUGGUCAAAAAACAACUUUCCAAAUCCUGACUGGUCUAUGUGAAUUGUCCAGACAGCAAGGGAAGGCAUUACAAAAAUUGAUAACACCUACAAUAACAAAUGACCCCAUAGAGUUGACCUUUCGAACCGCUUCAAACCAUGACAUAUAAAUAGCCAAUCUUGGGGUCCAGCACAAAAACCCAAUACAAACUCAUCAGCAAUCCACAAAUCCUUCAAGAACACAAGAAAAACACCGCUCCAUCUUUCAGAAUCACCCAAAAAACAUGCAGUCACGUGUGUGCCCAUCCAUAGAAAAAAGUACUACUACAGCAAGCACAAAACCCUACUCCAAAAUCAUCCACAACAUUCAAAUCCCUUCAUAACACCAUUCAUCUCCUUCAAUAAUCACCAAGAAAAGUGUAUGCACCCAUGCACAGAAAAAAGUACUAUAAAAGCCAUCAGAAAAACUCUACCCGGAAUAAUCCAUGACAUUCAAAUCCCUUCACACAACACCAUUUUAUCUCCAUCCCAAAUCACCAAAAAUGCCUGUGCACACUUAUGGGGGAAAAAGAACUCCUACAGCUAACACAAAACCGUUCUCCAGAAUCAAUCACAACAUCCAAAAUCCCUUCAAACGGAGGGGGUAAAAAGACAACUCGCCGCUUCCAAAAUCGGAAGACAGAUAAUUUGACCCCCCCCCCCCAACAAAAAAAAAAAAAAAAAAACAGCAUUUAAGGGAAAAAAUACCAAAAAAUCCACAAUUAUCCAGCUGGGAAAGAAAGAAAAUUGAACAUCAGUUCUCAUUCAUUACCAAAAAGAUUCCGUCAAAUGAGAACUUAAAACAAUACAGAAAGGCAUGCAUACCCAAAAUGCAGAUAAACAACCAGUUUUUUUUGGAGCAAACUAAUCAGUUUAUGCAGAUAAAAUUCUAACCUUAGUAAACAACAUCACAACUCUGAUUUAAAAAAAAUUGAACGCAUCUCGAUCACAAUCACAUUGAUGAAUCAAAGGAAAAAAAACCAUGAACCAAAUAGCAUAAAAAGAACAAAAAAAAUCAAGCCAAAACACAUCCAUACGCAUGUUCAGGUGGUGAGCUUUAGCCUAUACACGGAUUAAAACAAUAAAUCAAAAGCAAGAAUUAAAAGCCAAAAAAAAAAGAGAAAAAGUGAAGAAACCUUACAGUGAAGAGGACGAGAGAAUUCUUGAAAGAAAAUAUGUGUCUGGAGUCUGGACGGGCUUUUGGUUGCUGCCUCGGGGAGUGCAAGAAAGGACAGGAGGGAAGAGAAGAGAACAGGAGAAAGAUUAAAAAAAAGAAAAAAGAAAAAAAAAGAUUUGGAUUGUGGAUUUUAAGUUGAGUUAAUUGCAUUUUGCCCUCCUCAAUUAUGCCUAGACUGAAGUUUGUACCCCAAACGUUUAAUUUUUGCAAUUAACUAUCUCUAACUCUUGAUUUGCCGCAUGAUUUAAAAUGAAGCUAAAUCCGAUGGGAUAAAGAGCGACACGACGAUUUGCCCUUAAAAUCUUACUAAAAUGCCCAAAGUAUCCCAGAAAAAAGCAAUUUUCUAGGAAACCUUUUCUCUCAUUUUCUUAAGCGAACUCAAGAAUGCGUAAAGAAAUCUAAUCCUCGAACAACCUUCAAAAGCCUUUUCUCUCAUUUUCUAGGAAACCUUUUCACUUUCCCCUUUCCUUUGAUUUUCGUCUGCCACAAUAGGACAAAUAAGAAAAAGGAAAAAUGUCCAAUUUCGUCCCUAAAUUUUGGUGUCAAUUUAGUUCUUAACUUUCAUUUCUGACUAAUUUGAUAUUUGAACUUAUUUUGCAAUUUCAAUUAAGGACCCCAAUGGUACUACUAUUUAAAACCGAUAUGACUUCUAAUUGAUUAACUAAAAUAGAGGUAUUAUAGAAAUGCCACUCGGACAUUAUAAUGAAACAAGCAAAUCAAACUUCUAAAUCGUAUAAAAAAUUAUCAGAUAAAACUUCUUUGAAGUUUAAUCUUGUGAUUUUUUUAAUACGUUGAUUUAUUACAGUCCCGUGAGUGAUGUUCUCAAAAUUUCCCUAUUUUAUUAGUUAAUUAGAAGUCAGAUCUGUAUUAAAUGGUAGCGUCGCUACAAAAGUCCUCAGUUGAAACUGCAAAAUAAGUUCACAUAUUAAAUUGGUUAGGAAUAAAAAGUUAGAAACUAAAUCUACACUAGUGAAAAGGUUUAGGAAUGAAAUUGGUCAUUUUUUUAAAAAAAAACCACCACAACAAUAAUCCCCGUCUUACCAAUCGAAAUUAACACUUCUCACAUCAAUGAAUUUUGUCGAACAGUUCUGACCUUACAUACUCUGCUGCAACUUCUUAACCCAUGGUUUAUGGGACUCUUAUCUAUGGUGACAUCUGGCCAUGCGGGUUGGAGUGCAACUGCAAGAACAGGAAGACAGGAAAGCCUAGAAGGUAUAGGAUUCAUGGUGAAUCCUCUUAACUGUUAAUUUGAGUUAAUAGUGUUUGGAAGUUUGAAAACUCAAUAAUCAACGUCCUUUCAUUUGAGAUCCUUUCUCAAUUAAAAGUCCAUCAGUCCAAGUCCACACAGAGGUUUUCAUUCCGGGGUUCCAUUUGCAAAGGUGAAUAUCAAGAUAAGACUCCUGGCAUGUGGAAUUGAGUUAGAUCAUGUUCGCAAUUUGCCAAUAUAGAGUUUUGUAUCUCGGAAGUGGUAAUUAACCUCACAAAAUGCAAAAGAAACUGCAAAGAUUAGAAUUAAGAAUUGGUGAUCUGUUUCAAGGGCAUUGUAGAUUAACAACCCUGCAGGAAAAUAGGCCAAGCCACUUUCAUGUGAAUGAUAUUAUUGUAAUAUGAUAUAGAUACAAUGUAGACUAAUAAAUUGCUUAUUAGAUGCUUUUACUAUUCACAAUAUAUCCUGCUCAGGAUUAAGAAGGAAGAAAAAACCCACAAAAUCAAGGCCAUGCAACUUAGCUUUGGCAAUCUGCACAGAAAAAGGAAAAGAAAAUCCAGAAAACUAUGAAUAAAUGCUAAGAUUCAGAAUGUGAUAAUGGAAUAUUAAUACAUCAACAAUUGGCCAACUCGAACAUAGUGAAUACUCAGUUCCCAGGUGGGUUUCUGUUCCAAGACAAAUAGGAUGGAUCGCCAUAAGGCCUGCAUGAGUGAAUGGACAAAAGAAGUAUUAAAGAAUUACCAAGUACAAGGCAAAGAUAUCAAUUAAACCAAUGUUGUAAACAGCAAUUCUCACAAAAUAAAUUGACAAACAGGCGUAGGUUUCCACAAUUCAUAAUUCUAUAUGCUGAUAAAUCAUAUAGAAGAGAAGAUUAUAGCAUCAUAUUUUGGUUUCUCAUCUUAAAACAACAGCUCAAUUUCCACUGACCCUAAAAUAAUUCAUCGAAUGACUCUGGUCUCAGUGGUUUGUAUUAUGUACUCAUGAAGGUGUACAGUAAAUUAAAAAUUUCACACUACCAAAACUAGAAGAACUAUAUCCAUGUGAUGCUAAACAGUAAUAAGAGGAUUGAUAACUACUAAUGAGAAUACCUUGGCUUUAUAAGGUACAUUACUAUGAAAGUUGUUGCAAUGAAUAAGCACAAUCCACCAAUAGUGAUGUAUCCCAAGCCUAAGAAACUGUUUUUUCCACCAAUCCAAGUCGUAGUCGAAAGAACUAGCUUCUUUUUGCCUCCAAAAGCAUAAGCAUUAUAGUUAUUCUGUAUAACCACUGUUAUCAUCUCAUUAGCCUCAAGAUCCUGUUCAAUUCUCCCAUACAACUUUCGGAAGCUUGGCAAUGCUGCAGUGCGCAUCCAGACUAGAAGGUCCUCUUGCUCACUCAACUGUUAUAAGGCAAUAAAUUGAGCAGAGUAAACGAACGCUUGGAUCGGUAGACAGGAAAAUGUAAAAGGGAGAGAUUUCGAAAGAGAGAUGGAGAAAAGAUAGAGAGAAGAGAUGACUGCACUAACUGGUAUUUUUUCAUCCAGUUUUCCUCCUCCAAUCAAGCUUCCCUGCUGAAAGUUUUUAGGAUAAACUUUUGAUCCAAAUUUAUAGUUCUUAUCGCUGUCCCAUGCAAUAUCUUUCUUGUUUACAGAUAGAUUCAUGCCACCAACUGAGAAUCCAUAAGUAUCAUUGAACAAACUCCAAGCAACAAGGCCACAAGGCACAAUGGGCUUAUUAUCAACGCGUGCUUCGGGUUCACAGGGUGAUGUUAAAUCCUCAUUUUCUGGUUUCGCAACUGUUUGUCACUUCUGCUUUUGACAUAUCUGCAUAAAAGCAAUCAGAAACUUUACAUCACACUUUGGUUUGUAAUAAAUGAUCACAAGCUGGAAAAGAGAGUGAGAUUUCCAGUGGAGCUCUGAAUAAGUGAAGAUGAAACAAGCUAAUCAAGAAAGAGUAUAGCACACUAGAAGUCUCAAAUUUGCAAUUAGGUUUCUUUUAUGGCUAGGAGCAAGACAACUACAAAAGAUGCCACAAAUAAAAAAAAAAAAAUUCCUCACCCACAGAUUAAACUAUAUCAGUAGUAAAAGCAAAGCGUGAUGGCAAGUAAAUCAAGGUUUUCUUAGAUUAUGAAACCACAGAAUCUGGAGAAUCAAUAAACUUGGAAGAACAAGGCAUCUCCAACUGCACCAAAUAAGAAAUCCACUCUGAUCUCCAGAAAGCUUCACAUCAUUAAGGUCAAAUUAUUCAUUUGGUCCAGCUUAUACAGUCUAGCAUGCUGGUGUUUUCACAAAAACAAUGGGAAAAACACCCAAGAGACAUUUCAAAUAAAUAACAACUACUCAAUCCCGUUGGAAACAACGUCAGAAAAAAUAAAACAUACCGACGAUGGUUUUGAUAGAAGUUAUCAAGCUGGUAAUAGAUGUAAACCGGAUGCUGCAUUUUCUUUGGGACCUGAACAAUCAUUUUGCAAACUAAUAUUUUCAAACUGGAGGAAGAGAAGUGGAAUAAAUGAAACAAAUUCUUUUCAUGUUGUAUCUGCAAACAUCAGUUCUAAGAAAUUGCACCUACUGUCAAGCUCCGACACAGGUUUUGUUGGUCUUGUCACUCUGAAUAAAUGCAGUUUUCUCUUGAUCGGAAGGAAUGCAAUCCUCGUCAUAGCGGUCUACAAUUUCAACCACCUAUACAUCAGCAAUAGCAUAUCAGACCCAUUGAAAAGGUUACUUUUUUGAAAGACUCUAGCAGAUGGAUCAUCUAAAUCUUUACCCUCUCUGAUGCAGACAAGACAAAAGGCCAAUUGGUAUGAAUAUAACCCCUACUAGUAUAAAAGUUGUGACCACCUAAAAUAAUAACAGGAGGAGAAUCAGAAAAGAACAGAAAAGGAAAAAGGAUCAAGUUUCACAGAUCAAAAUCCAGUUGCAGAAUAUAAUGAAAACAUACCAAUCCUGGAGUUAAUAUCGGUUUGCAUGCAGGCAGUUCUUGUUGUGUAAACCUAGAAUCUGAAGCAUAACAAAGUGGCAACAAUUGGAUACUUAUAUUGACAGGGAUGAUCUAUAAAAAAAAAAAAGCAAUCUCAAUCAACUAAUCAUUCAUUUAAAAAAGGUUAAUCAGUGUUACGUGCUAAAAACCAGAAUUCAGAAACUAAAAUUGCAUAUUGAUCAGAUGCAACAAUGAAGUAGCCAGAGAAAAUUCCUGAAUUCUUCACCAUAAAUCGUCAUAUCUAUGGGAAAUUUACGUAAUUGAAUCAAUCAUGGGCUUUAAACUGUAUUGAUACUCAAUCAAAAAAUAAAAAUAAAAAUAAAAUAGAAAGGGGAUCUCGCAAAGGGCUUUCAUAAAUCCGAACAUUCAGAAACAUACUACCACUGUUAAUCACCCCGCAUUGCCAAACCUUAUGGAUUAAUGAUCAAGAACCAAGAAACGGAAUCCCAAAUAGCACUUAAGAACUAUUCUCAUUUUUUUAAAAGAAUUUACUUAUUAUAAUCAUGCAGGCCCGUGAUGGUUCUUGAAAAACCAUUUCUUGUUCCAUUACAAAUCUGAGGUUAACCGUUCGAGUAAUUAUCAUCAAAAUAGCCAAAAAAUUCCAAAAAUAAAAAACAUGCAUUUUGAGAAACGAUCAAUCACAAUCAUCCACAAAUUCAAAAGAAAUAAAAUGGAAGAAUCAAUUCCUCAGUAAAGCAACUGAAUAAAGAAAAUCAAAAAAACAAAGAAACAGAGGGAACUGAAAAUUGGAAGAGAGAAUCUACAUUUGGGUUGCCUGGAUUUCUUGGAAGAAGAUUGAGAAGAACCCUCCCCAGAGCUCAUCUUUUCAGAUAUGUACUAUUAAUAUAUUAUUCUUUGCAGAUUGAAUAAAAAUGCAAAGAAAAGAAAAGGGCCAGGGUGAAAGAGGCAAAAGCCUGAAAAAAUGCUUAAAAUCUGUAGAUUUGUUGGAAAGACGGAGAAUCUAUUCCAAAAAUAAUUUUGGUUUUCUUAAGGAAAAAAAAAAAGAAUAAAGAAACCAACUUCCUACAGUAGUUAACAAUUGCCAUAUCGUCUUUUCUUCUUCUUCUUUUCCUUUUUUUUUAAUUUUGUUAUUUUUAGUAUUUAUUUUUAUUUAAAAAAAUGAGAAGAAAAUAAAGGUAGUUAGCUAAUACCUUUUUAUUUUGUUAUUUUUAGUUUUGUUUUUCAUUUAAAAAAUAUAAGAAGAAAAUAAAGGUACCUAAUGAACACAUAUAAAAGUAGUUCGCUAGAUUCUAUUAUGUUAUUCAAUAAUUUAAAGUCCUCAAAUGAUUUAAGAAUUGAUAUCUAAUUUUAUAUAUUCAACGAUGAAAGCUAUAAUAAUCAAAAGAUAUUUGUACAAUUAGCUAAAACACUAAAUUUGUACAAUGGCUAAAACACUAAAUUUGUACAAUUAGGAAUUGGGCAUUAUCAUUGGUGUACAAAAUAAAUUUCUGAAAUUCUUUUGUCAAAAAAAAAAAACAAAAGAAAGAGUGAAAUUCUAUGACCAAAAUGCAAAAUGUUUUCAUCCUAGGAUACUUGAAUGAGAUAACAAAAGUUUGUGCUAAAUAUUGAACUUUGAUCCCACCUGGGAAAAAGAAUAUUGUCGUGGUAUUGUGGGGAGGUUGGACUAACAUUUCGAAAGAUUUUUUCCUUUUUAAGAUCUAUUGAUUGUCUUGUGGUAUCAAUUAAUAGUCCCACGUUUUAUUUUUUUAUUAAAAAUGAGAAUUAAAUUGAAAAUAUUCAAAAUUAGAGGGACAAUAAUAUGAAUACUUGUACUUAAAUGGUAAAAAUAAAGGGAGGAUGAGAAAUCUUAAAUAGAGAGAACUUCAUACUGUCUAGGUGGAGAAGGAAGCCAAGAAACGACAAAAUAGAUAGGAUUUAAAUGUUAUUUAGGUGGAGUACGGAUCUGGACACAUUUACUAGAAUAAGGUGGCAUUUGCGGUGGAUUUGUUAAACGAAUCAGCUUACCACAUUCAACAUUAAACAAUCCGUUAUGAAAAAAAGUGUACAAGUUCAGCACUACUGAAAAGUUUAAGCGGAUGAGAUAUUUCUUCAUUUUAUCAAACAAUUUGUAUCCAUAGUUAUCUAAACAAAUUCAUUUUCAGCACAUUCUUAGUGUUAUAAAGAAGACCCUAAAUUACACUUAAAAGAAGGCCCUAAAUUUAGAUUUUUGGUUCCUCAAUUAGCAAAUAUAAUCUAUGACUAAUUACCUUCCUUAAUGCAGUUAGUUAGAAAAAUCUAUUUAAUAGCAAUUGAUUCAUUUUCUUGAAGGAAACAAAGCUAAUUUAGUUUAGAAUAGGUAAGUUUCUUAAAGAAACUGAAGGAAACAAAAGUUUACUUUUUUUCUAUCACGCAUUUAAGUACUGAUUUGAUCAAGUAAGAAACACAAAAUCUUGAUAGAAAACAACAGUGAAGCACUUGGCUCAAACAUGCUCGGAUCAUCAACAUUUGCUAGUUUGCAGAUUGAACGGGGAAGGCAAGGAAACUCAAAAAAAAAGAAAAAAGAAAAGUCAAACCUCCUUUUAGAGUGGAAAAUGGCUGGUUUACACCAACGUUUUAGAACUCGAACCGGUGAUAGAAGCGACUGAUCAUCGAUUCACGAUUUUUUCAGUUCAAUCGAUUCAACCAGUCGGGUCACCUAUUCACUGUUUUUAUUUAUUUUAAAAAAUUUAAAACCUGAACAAUCAUCAUGUCCAUGGCAAGUAAGGACUCCCUAGGCGUUAAAGUUCGAACUUUACCAGAUCCAUACUUUAAUUUGAUUAUAUCACCUAAGCAAAAAUAUUUGAAAGCAUUUUGCACGCAUUAAAUUCAAACGUAUUAUCUUUUUCAAAAAUCAGAGAGAAAACUUUUAAGUCCCCUAAAAAAUCUUGACGGCAUGAAAUUUUGCAUUGAUACAACAUUAAUUUUUUCCAACCACAAAAAUAGUAAUAUUUUACAUGGAUGGACUGUAAUUUUUUUACAACCAUAAAAAAGAAAAGAAAAUCUCAAAUAAAUAAAAAAAAUCUCAAAUCAAGAAGAGAAUCUUUCUAUCCAUCUAAAAAAAAAAUGAAAGGCAACGUAUUGAAAACAGAGAAAAGAAAACUUCAAACGAAAAUAGAGUGAAAAAACUCAACAUACACAAGAAAAAAAGAAAAGAAAAUGUCAAAAUAUUGAACUAAAAAAUAUGGAAGAAAACAUCAACAAAUUAAACUAAAAAGAUGGCAAAAAAGAGGAGAGAGUGGAGACUGAAGAUUAAAAGAAGAGGAAAUGGAGUGAGGAUGAGAGUUUGUAAUGGUAAGUUAAUUUAUUGACCAUGAAAAUGGGGAUCUAGUGAAUGGAAAAUGGAGGUGAGAGUUGAGAUGGGGGAGAGAAUAGAGAUAGGAAGUGGCGGCUAAUGUAAAUGCAUAGGAUUUAUAAUGGUUCGUUGGUUUUGGAUUUCCCCAUUCUUUAGUUAUCAAAGGACAAACAAAUAUGUUUUUAAAUAACAAAUAGACAAAAAACCAAACGAGGUUUUGUACAGUGGUUAGCAUGACUGACUUCUAUAGUAGAGGUCUUUGGUUCGAUUCCGGGCACCAGUAAAAGAUUUUGCUUUUGACAAUUUACUCAAAAGAUAAGGGGGAAAAAUUAUUAAGUGCAAAACUGAAAAUCAAGAAUGAUCGGUUCAACCAAUUUAUUCUAAUUUUGAUGAGUUUGAUUUUGCUUUUGACAAUUUACUUAAAAGAAAAGGGGGAAAAUUAUUAAGGGCAAAACUGAAAAUCGAGAGUAAUCAGUUCAACCAGUUUACUCCAAUUUUGAUGAGUUUGACCAGUUUUCAACGGAUUAUUUGCUACUUCUGACUUUAGUAUAGAAUUGGACCGGUGCUAUAAUUACGGUUCAGCCGAUUGAAUUGGCAAGUCCGAUGUAGUCCUGAAAAUAUGGUUCAAUUCUAGGCGCCGGCAAAAAAAUUUGCUUUUGACAAUUUAGUUAAAAGAAAAGUGGGGAAAAAGAUUAAGAGCAAAAUCAAAAACCAAGAAUGACCGGUUCAAUAAGUUUACCUCGAUUUUGAUGAGUUUGAUUAGUUUUCAAUGGGUUAUUUGCUACUUCUGGCUUUAAUAUAGAACCAAACUGAUGCUAUAGCCUGUUCGCGGUACAAUUGAUUGAACCGGCCAAUCUGGUUCGGUAUUCAAAACACUGGUUUAUGCAUGAGAAUUUCCUUGCCCGAUUGGUUCAAGAAUCUUGGGAGAAAAGUGUUCAAAAUUAGAGGGGAAGAUCUUAGAAUUAAACAAUGCACUAAAAUUUUGGGAUAAAGAGACCUUUCAGAAUAUCCACAAGAGGAAAAAGAGAUGUGUUGCAUGGUUGCAAGGUCUACAGAAAGCUCCUUGCCAGAAUUAGUCCAAGUACUUAGAGAAAUUGAAGAUCAAGUUGCUGAAGAAUAUAAUACAAUUCUUGAACAAUAAGAGGCUUUGUGGUACCAGAAAUCAAGAUGUUAAUGUGGCUCCAAUGUAAGGAUAGAAAUUCUAGAUAUUUCCACAUGUCUACUAUCCACCGGAGAAAGAGAAGCCAAAUAUAUAACUUGAAGGAUGAGAAGGGUAAGCGGCAAGAAAACCCAGAAAUCUUGAAAGAAAUGAUAGUGGCAUACUUUGAAAAUUUGUAUAGUGCAAGAGAGGGGGGAAUGGAAUCAACUAGAACAUGAAGCAAGCAAGUUUCCACAAUUGAGGGGAGCAGGAUGAAAACUCUGACUAGGAAAGUAAGUGACUGUGAGGCCAAAAAGGCACUCUUCGAAAUGCAAGCCAAUAAAGCUCUAAGGCCGAUGAUAUUGAUGCAGAAUUCUAUUAGAAGUGCUGGAGUAUCAUAGGCAACGCAAUGAUUGAUUAUGCGAAGAAGGUAUUCAGAACCAAGGCCUUUCUUGAAUCAAUAACACUAGGACAUCUCUAUUCUCGAAAAAUGAACCAUCUCGAACCAGUGUCUCAAUUCAGGCGCAUCUUGUUGUGUAAUGUCGAUUACAAAAUCGAAUGUGAGUAUGAAAACUAUCAAAGUGUUGAUUUAGAUACCUAGAGUUUGUGUUCGCAAGUGUUUUUUGCAAGUGUCGUUCCAAAUCAAGACAUUAUUGGUGAUUCGCCUAACAAUUCUUAGUACAUUGGAAGAUGAUUCAUAGGUCACAAAAGGGAUGAGUUGAAUUUUGUGUAGAAGGGUUCACUCUUGUUAGGCAUACCUGAGUCUAACUUGGUACAAGUCUUUUGGUCACUUAAUUUUCCUUACUCUUUUAUUUUUAGUCUUUUCAUAGUUGAGUCUUUUAUUGAUUGAAUAAAGCAUUCGAUCCAUACUUGUUGGAUUCGCUGGAGAUUUAGGAUUUCAAUUAAGUUGUUUGGGUCUUUUUAGUUAGGUAGAAUAAUUGGCCAACUUAAAGCUUAAUUUGGGCUUUAGAUUGGGUCAUUAGUUUAGUUAGUUAAGUAGCUUUAGUCUUGGCCCAUUUGGAUUUGUACGGUUGCUAUAAAUAAGUCGUUCCUAUGCUUUUCUAGAGAGAGAGACUUGAUGAAUAAAAUUUAAGAGUUUUCUCUUUCUUGUUCCUUUGUGAACACCCACCCUUGAUAUAUGAUAGGGUAUUAUUUGUUAGCAAUUUUAUUAUUAAUUUCCCCUUUGUCCCUGCCAAAUAUUGUGUUAAUUGCUGACAUCUACUCAUAUUUGGUAUAUGGACUCAAUUUCAGGGAGAGGAACAGAAAAGUAUAAAAAAUGAGGGACUUUCAGGAGAAAAUUGAGACUCCUAACUCCUAAGAGUUCAACAGACCUGGCCCACAAGGAAGGAAGAGAAACAGAUUUCCGUUUCUUUGGCUAAUGAAGAAUUGAUUGGUACUAAGGCCCUACUAGCAAUAGCAAACGGGAGCAAGGAAACAUUGAGUAGGGCCUGGCUUUGGUACCCUUUGUCUUCACUUUCGGCGGGGACCACGGAGGAAAAGAGAAAAGGCAUUAGUCAUUGGACUUUAAAAGGGAAGGAAAGAAACGUACAGAGAGGAUAGUUUUUUAGAGCUUAGUUUUUAGGAUAGUUUUAGUUUUCUUUCAUUCCUUGGCAGGCGCACGCUUGCUGUUCGACAAUAUUCCCAACAGGAAAAACAUCUUUUACUCUUGCUUUCUAGUGAAAAACGUGAUGCCUUUGCAGUCAGUUAAUUCGCGUGGAGAUUUAUUUAUGCGGCGUGACUAAGCCUUUCAUCUAAUCAAGGAUCAACUCGAUGGCACAGUCUCGAAUACCUGUGAGAUCUAAUUAGUUUUCACGUGUUCCUUAAUUUGUUAAUAUUUGCACGUUGUCUAUUUGAAUUUUCAUGGGAUUAUUUUGUUAACUGGAUAUCAAGGGCCCGAUGUUCAAUGCAACUUAUCAAUCUCUUGCCAAUUUAGUCAAUUAAAUCCGUAAUUGUUUGAUUGAUUAAUAUUAGUUGCAACUGGCGUGUUUACACACUAGGGAAACGUGCAAUCUAAUUUAAGUAACCCUCGUAGCAUGUUAUUGAUUAAGGUUAGGUUUUUCUAGUUCUUAAUGCAAUUGAAAAAUUAAUUCCUACGGUUGUACCUAGGAAUAUUUUCUGGUUAGGAGUAAUCAAUGGUCGUACCUUAGUUAUCAAUAAAUUAAGAAAAAAUUGGUCGUUAGAUUUCAUCGGCGACUAUAACUAGUCUAUUAAUAAAUUAAGUGAACCUCCCUUGCAUCAAUAAUCGGAUGAAUGGACUGUGUCUGAGUAGUUAUAUCCUUGGCUAGAAUUUAUUUAUUCUUGAAUUAAUUCCUGUCUACAUUCAUGUUAGUUAAUUAUUCGUUUUAUUUGAAUUGCUUAAUUAUUUGUAGUUUUAUUCUGAUAAAACCCCUCUUUUUACCAAUUGGAAUCUCAAGAGACAAAUAUCCCCAAUCCUUGAGGAGACGACCUACUUGCCAUUGUCUACCAAUUAGUAAAUUUUGUCAAAUAAUUAAUUCUGGUAUAUCGGAUUAAGCAAACUUUUUGGGAACAUGGUGAAUCAAGUAACCCAUUGCACACCUAGAGUCCCUGCUCCAGUACCUAGAAUUGAUUAUUGACUGUUUUUAUUGCAAUAAGGUUUAUUUUUAUUAUUGCACAGGUUCGGCACCUGUUAAUUUUAGCGCCGUUGCCGGGGAUUGGCAUUAAUUAUUUAUUUCUUUUUAAGUUCAUUUGUGUUCUAAUUCUUUGAUACUUUUCUAGUGUAUGCUCUCAUUUUUCUUGUACAGACAAAUUAAUUUUCGACCCUGAAGUAGAGAAGCUCGCGCGUAGAACGAGGAAAGAAACCAGACAACUCAGAGAAGAGCACUCAAGUGCUACAUCUCAGAGACUUGAGCCAGCAGUUAAACCAGCAGAUUCGUUUGGUGACACUUCGAGUGACUCGGAUCAAAAGGAAGUCACCAUGGCAAAUGCACAAACACUAAGGGAGUUGGCUGCUCCUAAUUUAAAUCAGCACUUUUAUGCAUUACUUUCCCAAGUUUGAACGAUAACAUUCCCUUUGAACUAAAAUCUGGUCUAAUUAAUCUCUUGUCAUCUUUUCAUGGUCUACAGGUGAGGAGCCCUACAAGCGUUUACAGGAGUUUGAUGUCCUUUGCAACAGUAUGAAGCCUCCAGGAAUUACAGAAGAGCAACCCGCGAAGGAUUGGCUGUACUACCUACCACUAGGUAGUAUCACCACGUGGGACCAGUUGAAGAAAAAUUCCUGGACAAGUACUUUCCAGCGUUUCGAGUUGCAAGCCUAAGGAAGGAGAUAUGCAGCAUUAAACAACACCCAGGCGAGUCUCUGUAUGAGUACUGGGAGAGGUUUAAGAAGCUGUGCAUCAAAUGCGCUCAGCAUCAAAUAAGUGAGCAACUGCUCAUCAAAUAUUUUUACGAGGGGCUACUCUUCAGGGACAGAAGCAUAAUUGAUGCUGCAAGUGAAGGAGCGUUGGUAAACAAGACCCUUCGGACAGUAUAGGAGUUGAUUGAAGGGAUGGCUGAGAACUCACAGUUUGGUUCAAUGGAGGACAUCCUGAUGCGUAAGGUGAAUGAGGUAGAAGCAUUUUUUAUAGCAACAGCAGCUCUCCGAAUUGACAUCUUUCGUGCGACAACUAGCCGUAAGAAGUGCUUCACAAGCCAAAGUAUGUGGGGUAUGCACUGCCGUGGGUCAUUCUACGGAUAUGUGUCCACUGGUUCAGGAAGAAACUGCAGAACAGGUGAACAUGGCUGGCCACGCGUCCGCGCCAAGAAAGUAGUACGACCCUUACUCAAGCACCUACAAUCCUGGUUGGAGAGAUCAUCUCAACCUCAGUUAUGGAGGGAACAGGCAGUCCAACUUCGUACCAAAUAGGCAGCAAGGGUACUAGCAGCAGUAUCAGCCUCGCCAACCACCACCACCCUUCGAACUCAAGUCCGUCCAUGGAAGAGAUGAUGAAACAAUUACUUGCGAAUCAACAAAAGACGGAUUCUGACCUGUAAAGCAUGAGGAAUCAAUUGGGACAAGUGCAAUCAUUGCAAACUCAAGUAAAUCAAAUGGCCAUCGCGAUCAACCGUUUGGAGUCCCAAGUUCAAGGGAAGUUGCCAUCUCAACCUGAGUUGAACCCGCAGAAUAUGAGUGCAAUAACCUUGAGAAGUGGCAAGAAAGUCCAAGAACCCGAACCGGUGAUUCCUAAGGACAAAACCGAGGAACAAAUCGAGAAAGAAUUGGAAGAGGAGGGCAGAGACAACAAAGAUAAAAAGGUGCUUCCGGAUCUGAUUACUAGAGUUAAAACUAGUCCACCUCUCUUUCCUAACAGGUUAGAGAAACCAAAGAAACAGGACAAGGAGAAAGAGGUCCUGGAGAUCUUCUGCAAGGUGGAGAUCAGCAUCCCCUACUGGACGCGAUUAAACAAGUGCUCAAAUAAGCAAAAUUUUUGAAGAACUUGUGUGUCAACCAAAAGCGGUUGAAAGGAGAUGAACGAGUUAUAGUGGGGGAGAACGUGUCAAUAAUUUUACAAAGGAAGCUUCCACUGAAAUGCGGGAUCCAGAUAUGUUUACCAUUCCCUGUAGGAUAGGUAAUACCUUGAUUGGGAAGGCCAUGUUAGAUCUAGGAGUUUCGAUUAAUGUGAUGCCCAAGUCCAUAUAUGCUUAUUUGAAUUUAGACCCUUUAAAAGAGAUUGAAAUAAUAAUCCAACUGGCUGACCGAACCAAUGCAUACCUUGACGGGUUGAUGAUGAAGAUAUUUUAGUGAAAAUUAAUGAAUUGGUUUUUUCUGCUGAUUUUUAUGUGCUUGAUAUGGAUGAUGAACACUCCUAUGACCGAUCACUGUUAUUAUUAGACAGACCCUUCUUGAGCACAGCCUGAACCAAAAUUGUUGUAAAUAAGGGUACUUUGUCUAUGAAAUUUGAUGACGAGAUUGUUUAUUUUAAUAUUUUUGAAACUAUGAAAUAUCCUCCAGAUUCAAAUGUUGGCUCCGUUUUCUCUGUAACUAUAACUGACCCUGCGAUACGGAGGUUUUUGAAAUUGAAGGCAGGGAUGAGUUGGAAGUUGCCUUGACCAGGCACUUCGAGUCAUAGAUGAUCUCUAGGGUAGAGUUGAGUGAAGAGCUCAAAUGUGUGAUUGAAGUGUUGCAGACAUUGCCAACCACAAAAAUAAGGUAUGAUCUUGCACCCAUUUUUACACCCGAACCUCACCAACGGUUACUUUCAUUUGUGGUGCAGGCACCUGACUUGGAACUAAAAUCGCUUCCGAAACACCUAAAGUAUGCAUACUUUGGUGAGGGGGAGACCUUCCCAGUGAUUAUCUCCGCGAGUUUAUCAAAAAUCCAAGAAGACAAAUUGAUUCGAGUUUUGAGGGACCAUAAGCAGGCGAUAUGAUGGACCAUCGCCGAUAUCAAGGAAAUUAGCCCCGCGAUAUAUAUGCAUCGGAUUCGACUCGAGGAGGGUGCUAAACCUAUUCGACAAGCUCAAAAGAGACUGAAUCCCCUCAUGAUGGAGGUAGUAAAGAAAGAGAACCUGAAACUACUGGAUGUGGGGAUAAUUUUUGCAAUAUCAGAUAGCCUCUGGGUGAGUCCAGUACAAGUGGUCUCGAAGAAGGCAGGGGUGACGAUAGAAUCAAACCAAGAAGGUGAACUCAUACCAGUUCGAAAGCCCACCGGGUGGCGGCAGUGUAUCGAUUAUAGGAAGUUGAACGCCGUCACGAAAAAGGGUCAUUUUCCCCUUCCGUUCAUUGAUCAGAUGGUAAGCGAUUAGCAGGUCGAACUUACUAUUAUUUUUUGGAUGGAUUUUCAAGUUAUUUUCAUAUUGUUAUCACACCCAAGGAUCAGGAGAAGACAACCUUCACGUGCCCGUUUGGAACAUUUGCAUUCCUAAGGAUGCUGUUUGGAUUGUGCAAUGCACCUGCUACCUUCCAACGAUGCAUGGUAAGUAUUUUUUCAGAAUAUGUUGAGAAGAUUAUUGAGCUCUUUAUGGAUGAUUUCAGUGUGUAUGGGGAAAGUUUUGAUAACUAUCUAGAUAACCUCAAGUUAAUUUUGAUAAGGUGUAUAGAAGCUAAUCUCGUACUUAAUUGGAAAAAAUACCAUUUUAUGGUCGAGUACGGAAUAGUUUUGGGUCAUGUGGUGUCACCAGGGGUAUUGAGGUUGAUAAAGCGAAAAUAGAUAUUAUAUCUACUUUACCUUACCUCGUGAGUGUGCGGGAAGUGCAUUCCUUCUUGGGUCAUGCAGGUUUUAUAGAAGGUUAAUCAAAGACUUCUCAAAGAUUGGACCCCAUUGUUCCAACUUUUGCAAAAAGAUGUGCCCUUUGAAUUCGACGAAGCAUGCAGGAGGCGUUUGAUAGGUUGAAGGAGUUAUUGACCUCCUCACCUAUUAUCCAACUUCCUGACUGGAACCUACCGUUCGAAAUAAUGUGCGAUGCCAGCGACUAUGCAGUGGGCGCGGUGCUGGGUCAAAGAGUAGGAAAGGUAACCUAUGCUAUCUACCACGUAUCUCGAGCCUUGAACGGAACUCAGUUGAACUACUCGACCACCGAAAAGGAGCUUUUACCUGUUAUUUUUGCUUUAAAGAAAUUUCGGUCCUAUUUACUUGGUGCUAAAGUUAUUAUUUUCUCUGAUCAUGCAGCUUUGCUGUAUCUGUUGACCAAGAAAGAGGCAAAAUCGGGACUGAUAAGGUGAAUAUUACUGCUACAAGAAUUCGACCUGGAGAUCAGAGAUAAAACAGGGGCGGAGAACCUGGUAGCAGAUCACUUGAACCGAGUACAAGUCACCGAGGACGACCUUCCACUGAGAGAAACAUUCCCCGAUGAGCAUUUAUUUGCUAUUAAUUUAUUCUUGCCGUGGUAUGCAGAUAUUGUUAAUUUUCUAGUCGCUCACAAGUUUCCUGCAGGAUGGUCUAAGGUAAAGAGGGACAAGUUAAGGAGUGAUGCAAAAUCCUACAUUUGGGAUGAUCCUUACCUCUAAAAGCGUGGUGCCGACCAAAUCAUCAAAGAUGUGUAGGUGAGGAUGAAUUCCAAUCUAUACUAACCUAUUGUCACUCUUUUGCUUAUGGAUGUCACUUUGAACCAAAGAGAACGGCUCGUAAGAUCCUAGAGAGCGGGUUCUAUUGGCCGACCCUCUUCAAGGACGCCUAGUUAUUUUGUAAGUCCUAUGAUAAGUGUCAACGAGUAGGUAAUAUUUCUCAUAGGGAUCAAAUGACCCAAAUCCCAAUGAUUUUUGUCAAAAUUUUUGACAUUUGGGUAUUGACUUUAUGAGUACUUUUCCUUCGUCGUUUGGUUUUUUUUUUUGUAUAUUGCUUGCUAUGGAUUAUGUCUCAAAAUGGGUGGAAGCAAAGGCUACUCGUACUAAUAACUCCAAAGUGGUUGUAGAAUUCAUCAAAUCUAACCUUUUUGUCCGCUUUGGGAUACCGCGAGCAAUUGUAAGCGAUCAGGGUACUCAUUUCUGUAACAAGACUAUCGCGGCACUUUUUAGAAGGUAUGACGUCGUACAUAAAAUCUCUACAUCCUACCACCCUCAAACAAAUGGUCAGACGAAAGUAUCGAACAGAGAGAUCAAGUCAAUUUUAGAGAAGAUGGUCCGCCCUGAUAGGAAGGAUUGGAGUGUGAGACUUGAAGAUGCAUUAUGGGCAUAUAGGACGGCGUACAAGACACCCAUUGGCAUGUCCCCUUACCGGUUGGUAUUUGGGAAGCCAUGUCACCUCCCAGUUGAGUUCGAGCAUAAAGCGUUUUGGGCGGUCAAACAAUGCAAUAUGGACAUCGAAGAGGGCAGAAUUCAAAGGAAGUUACCGUUACAAGAAUUAGAGGAGAUUCGCAAUGAAGUCUAUGAGAAUGCUGUGAUUUAUAAGGAGAAGAAUAAGAUAUUUCAUGACCAGCAGAUCUCUAGGAAGACGUUCGAAUGUGGGCAAAAAGUUCUACUGUACCACUCGAAAUUGAAGUUAUUUUCAGGUAAAUUACGGUCUCGUUAGAUUGGUCCCUUCGUUGUAACUAAUGUCUUUCAUUAUGAUGCAGUGGAGAUCCGGAGUUUAAGGACGGAGAAGAAAUUUGUGGUGAAUAGUUAUCGUCUCAAGCCGUAUUAUGAAGGGGUUCCAGUUGAACGGGUGGAGAUGAUGCACUUGGAGGUCCCGAUUUGCUUAGUUUAAGCAAAUUUUGGGCUAUGUCUAGUCAAAGACAUUAAAUAAAGGCGUUUUUUUGGGAGACAACCCAAUUAUUAGUUUUAUUGCUUUUCAUUAUUCAAUUCUUUUGUUUUGUUUUUUCUCAGUUGGGUGGUAGUCGGUCAUAAUAUUUUCCUUUACUGUGACUAGGAAAUGCAAUCUUGGCGUGCUCACACUAUGUUAGUGACUCCUGAGGUCAGUGGACGUUUAUCAAUUUUGGCGUGCCCACCCCAUGUUGGUAAAAUCUCAACAUCUCGAGACGCUGAUAGGAAGUGCAAUCUUGGCUUGCCCAUGCGAUGCUUGUGUCUCCCAAGAUCAGUGGACGUUUUAUAAUUUUGGCGUGCCCACGCGGUGUUUGACGAUAAAAACUAAAUCCAAUAAAGAAUAAAAAAUAAAAAAUAAAACAAUAAAAAAAUAUUAUUUUCCUUUUAAAUCUUAAGUUUUGUUUUCUUUUUGAAAAUUCAAAAUUUUGAAAUAUAAGUCGAAAAAUGAAGAAACAAAUUUUUGAGAAAUAAAGAACCAAAAAAAAAAUCAUUUUCUUUACUUUUCUUUUCUUUUUUCUCUUUUUUUUUCUUUCUUUCUUCUUUUUCUUUCCUUCUUUCUUUUCUUUCUUUCUUUCUCUUCUUCUUCUCCGCCGCUUCCCCUGUUUUCCCCCUUUCCUUCUUUCCUUCUGCACAUCGCCGCACGCUUCUCUUCUCCUCCUCGCACCGCCUGCCCACGCUCUACAGCCACCACCACCAAUCCGCGUUCGCCGCCGUUGCUGUCCGCCAUCGCGCACCAGCAGCUCUACCAUUCGCGCCGCCACUGUCUAGCGACGCCACCGCCCUCACCUCACUUUCUCUCACUUAUCGCCUCCAUCCUCCUUAUUGCGCAGUUGCCCACCCUCCGGCCAAGUUGCGCCGCCACCUACCUCUCUCCAUUUCACCCACAGCCCAAGGCCGAGUCUCUCUCCUUGCUGCAACCUCGCACAGCCGCACGCCCAAGCGCGACCAUCACGCCACCGCUUUCUCAGACGCUGCGCCUCCCUCCAGUUCGCUCCCACCUCUGUAGCAGCCUCAGCUCCACCGCCGCCGAGCUCCAAGCUCCACCUCAUGGACCACCAGCUCUCUUCCUUCGCGCGCUAGCUCUCUUCGCCGACGCCUUUUCCUCUUUGCCGCGCGUUACCACCUGCCAAAAAUUGACAGGUGGAGGUAUUGUAAUUUCAAUCUCGAUUAGUAUUUUUUUUUUUAUAUGCUGGAAUUUGCGCUUUUGUUUCUUGGGUUUCUUGAUAGAUAAAAGCAAGAGGUGAUUUGGGCUUUUUCUGGGGUUAAUUUUGGUGGAACUAAAUUUAUUUGCUACUGCUCUCAUUUGGGGAUACUUUCUGGUCUUGAUUAUAUUGUUGAAUAUUGUUUGGGGUUUGACUACUUGAGGUUUCUAUUGCAUUUAGGGGAUAAAAUUUGCGCUCUUGUACCAGUUCAUUUGUUUGGAAAUUGUUGGGAGUGAUUUGGGAGCUACCUGUUAAUCGGGUCCCAUUUUAAUCUCUGCUUUUUCAUGGUACUGCUUGGUGUGUUCGGAUUUAUCAGAGCAGAGGAUUGGCCAUUUGAUUUCACUUUUCCCUGUGCAUACACCAGUGGUACUGGUGAGGGUAGUUUACAUAAUAUUUGUUACUCCUGUGUUAUUGGUUGCCUCACUGACUACCGGGCAUUUUUAUUGUGUUAUUUCUAUCCAACUUCUGUACUGCUAUUGCUGGAGUGCCAUUUUCUCGAGUCAUUUGCUAAUUUUAGUAAAUUGGGUACUUGACUGUCCAAUUGGAGACAGUUUGCAUUUGCUUGUUGAAAUAGGUUGUCUCUAUUUGCCUUGUUUGGGGGUAUUGUGUCUCUUUGAUCUCAAUCACUAAGUUCUUGAGAGCAUUUUUGCACUUUGGACUGCCUUGAUUCUGAUUUUGACUACAUUGGGACUACAAGUGCUUAUUGAUUGCAAUUGCUAUAUGUGUUGGGGUAUUCGUAUAACCUGUGGCUGAUUGAAUUGUGCAUUUUGUUCAUUGGAUUGUGCUUUUACAUUGUGGGUACUUUGAAUUUCUUGUUUCCAUUAUUUGUUGGAAAUUGUUGCCUCUUGUCGAUUGAAGUAAUCUUAAGAACCAAUGGUGCGGCCAUGGUCUUCUUCUAAGUCCAGGACACCUAGAACUUCUCAGCCCCCUCCUCCCUAGCACUUCAUUCCCGCCUUUGACUCCUCGCGCGACCCUUCUUCCUCUGGGAGGAAGGCUCGCCUUGGGAGGUAACGAGGUGUCCAUACCUCUGACCCUGCACAUUUUGGGGGUAAUUUGAACUUCACAACAGCCGACAAGCGGCGAUAUGCUGAAUGUUGUGAACGGCGCAUUAUACCCUGCCGAUAUCGGGACGCCACUUUAGACCUUUUAAAUAUUCGAGUUGACUUUGAUCGGUUGAUCUAGGCUAUUGGGUGGCAUCCCUACACUUAUAUUGUUGACUGUCCGGCAUUUGUCGAGUUGGUUGGGCAGUUCUAUGCCACAUUCGAGUUCGACCUCCCCAGGGGUUACACAGUUUCUACUCCUAAUGUCAUCCGUUUUAGAUUAAUGGGUCAAGAGUUCCACUAUUCCAUUACUGAUUUCAAUCUAGUACUUGAUUUUAUUGAUCAGGCCUAUGCCGAGUCUCGUGAGUAUGCCGAGAGUGCAUGUGACUACGUAUAACCCUUUUUCUCCCGCUAUCGACAUAUUUGGGAAGAGAUGUCCGUAGACCGUGAUAAUUAUGACUCUCGUCUAUCUAAGGGUUUUUAUUUGAAGGACCCGGCGUCUCGCUAUAUCCACCGUUUCUUGGCCUAUAGUUUCUCGGGUAGGUGACUUAGUUCGGGCAUUCUGUCUAACCCCGAAUUUUUCUUUAUUUGGUGCAUGCAUAAAAUGUUAAGGUUAACCUUGGAUGCUGGCUCGCUUCUCAGUUCAAAUCUAUUUUGCCUAAAAAGAAGCGCCCUUUGAUUCUUGGGUCAUACACUUGGCUGUUAAUUUGCAUAUACUUGAUAUUUCUAACCAUGAUUUGCAUAUAGCCUGUCACAUGGAGCCCUUGGACAUUCCGUGUUUAGCGAAAAUGGAUUUGGUUCGGGAGGGCGACGAUGGAUGGGAGGUUGUUCUCCCGGGAUCGCUACGCUCUCCCCUCGAUCAUCUUUUGCCCGAGCCUCCACGAAUGGCGGUGAUCUCGGCCAGUCUACUUCCGCUCCGCCUCCUCCCACCCUAGGGGCCGACGAUUGGCUCCAACUCUGGAACACUGUUGAGAGACUGGAGACUCGCGUGACCCACAUUGGCAUCAACUUGCAUAGCAUGGCGUAGAAUUUAGCAGCAUUUAUGCAUGAUGCGGGACUUGCUCCUCAGUUCGCGCCCGACCCACCAUUGUUUUGACGACUUCAGGGAAGUACUGUUGUCCUUCUCCUUCCUUUUUGCUGUUACAUUAUCACAUUGAGGGCAAUGUGUGACUUAGGUGUCGGGGGUCAGUUUGGGUGCUAGUAUUUCCAGUUUCCGAUUUUUGGGUGUUUUUUCCUUGGUUUUUAGUUUAGGUGUUUUUCCUGUUUGACCUGGGUGUGAGGGGGACUUGGAUUCGACUGGUGGAUCUCUUCAAUUUUCUGCAUUUCUUUAAUUUUCAGCUUGGCUUGCUGUUGUCUUGGUGAAUAUUUUGGCAACUCACUCUUCUAUUGCUGGUUGUAGUUUAUUCUAUGAAUUUAGUUUCGAUGGCAAGUAAGAACAUGUUGUCCUGGUGAAUAUUUUGAGUUUAAUGAUUUGGUGCAAUUUGUGGCUAACUUGUUUAGACAAUGUAAAUAUUUUGCUGGCACUGUUGUGUGGAUUGGUCCCUUGUUGACCUUAGUUCUCCAUGUUUAGGAGAUGAAAUGGGUCAUGAUCUUUAAUUGUUUAGUAUUUUGGUAUUUUAUUGAGAAUAACAUUGGCUAUACUCCGCUAGUGUCGUUAUCCAAUAACCGGAAAUUUUCACUAAAAGUGUCGAUUCUCGUAUCAAAAAGUGGCGAUAUUUAUAAGUAGGUAGUCCUGGAGUUGUGAAAAGUUGAGUAAUUGGGUUCUUUCAUCUAAAAAUGUAAGAAUUCACGUCAAAAGACUUGAAUGACUUGGAACUAAGCAUUUAUUCAAUCAAAAAAAAGAACAAAAAAAAAAUAAAAAAAAAGAGAGAACAGAUGUGGAAAAUAUGUAAGUCCAUGAUCAUGUUAGCCCGCCGAUCCUUGGUUCUCAAUGUUGAGAUUUUGGUUGCCAGUUGACUUAAUUGCUGACUGUUGCUAGUUAAUAUUUGGAUUUCCUAAGCGAGUUAGCCAUGAACUGGACGAGUCUGUGAUCUUAGGAGCUAACUGGGAGAGAUAUGUCUUAACACUUAGCCACUAAACCUUUAUUUUGGUAUAAGCACAACUUGGCAAUAGAUAAUGUGAGAGCCAGCCAUUGUUGAGUUUAGUUGUUCUCAUGCUUGAGGGCAAACAUGAUUCUGGUGUAGAGGGAAUUGAUAGGGUAUUAUUUGUUAGCAAUUUUAUUAUUAAUUUUUCCUUUGUCCCUGCCAAAUAUUGUGUUAAUUGUUGACAUCUACUCAUAUUUGAUAUAUGGACUCAAUUUCAGGAAGUAGAACAGAAAAGUACAAAAAAGGAGGGACUUUAGGGAGAAAUUUGAGACUCCUAAGAGCUCAACAGACCUGGCCUACAAACGGGAGCAAGGAAACAUUGAGUAGGGCCUGGCCCUUUGGUACUCUUUGUCUUCACUUUCGAAGGGAACCAGGAGGAAAAGAGAAAAGGCAUUAGUUAUUGGACUUUAAAAGGGAAGGAAAGAAACGUACAGAGAGGAUAGUUUUUAGAUUUUAGUUUUUCGGAUAGUUUUUAGUUUUCUUUCUUUCCUUGUCAGGCGCAUGCCUACUGUUCGACAAUAUUUCCCAACGGGAAAAACAUCUUUUACUCUUGCUUUCUAGUGAUUUCUAGUGAAAAACGUGAUGCCUUUGCAAUCAAUUAAUUCGCGUGGAGAUUUAUUUAUGCAGCGUGGCUAAGCCUUUCAUCUAGUCAAGAAUCAACUAGACGGAGCAGUCCCGAAUAUCUGUGAGAUCUAAUUAGUUUUCACGCGUUCCUUAAUUUGUUAAUAUUUGCACGUUGUCUAUUUGAAUUUUCGUGGGAUUAUUUUGUUAACUGGAUGUCAAGGGCUCGAUGUUCAAUGCAACUUAUUAAUCUCUUGCCAAUUUAGUCAAUUAAAUUCGUAAUUAUUUGAUUGAUUAAUAUUAGUGGCAAUUGGCGUGUUUACAUACUAGGGGAACGUGCAAUCUAAUUUAAGUAACCCUCGUAGCGUGUUAUUGAUUAGGGUUAGGUUUUUCUAGUUUUUAAUGCAAUUGAAAAAUUAAUUCCUACGGUCGUACCUAGGAGUAUUUUUGGUUAGGGGUAAUCAAUGGUCGUACCUUGGUUAUCAAUAAAUUAAGGAAAAAUUGGUCGUUAGAUUUCAUCGGCGACUAUAACUAGCCUAUUAAUGAAUUAAGUGAACCUCCCUUGCAUCAAUGAUCGGAUGAAUUGACUAUGUCUGAGUAGUUGUAUCCUUGACUAGAAUUUAUCUAUUCUUGAAUUAAUUUCUGUCUACAUUCGUGUUAGUUAAUUAUUCAUUUUAUUUGAAUUGCUUAAUUUUUUGUAGCUUUAUUAUGAUAAAAACCCCCUUUUACCAAUUGGAAUCUCAAAGAGACAAAUAUCCCCAGUCCCUUAGGAGACGACCCUACUUGCCACUGUCUACCAAUUAGUAAAUUUUGUUAAAUAAUUAAUUCUGGUAUAUCGGAUUAAGCAAACUCUUUGGAAACAGGGUAAAUCAAGUAACUUAUUACACACCUAGAGUCCCUGCUCCAGUACCUAUAAUUGAUUAUUGACCGCUUUUAUUGGCAAUUAAGUUUAUUUUUAUUAUUUCACAGGUUCGGCACCUGUUAAUAUAAGGUGAGUAUGUCUCUUUUGUCUUCAAGUUUUGGGUUAUCAAUCAAUGACCACAGUUAGUUGAGGUGCAUUUCUAUGCAUAUCAAGGUUUGCAUUCUUUUGAAAGUGUCGGGUUGAGAUACUAUCAAUAAGUUUGCAUCUUUGGGAGAUUGUCGAGUUGAGAUUUUCCAUCUAUUAUGUUCCAUAACCUAGUCACGAUAGAUCAUUCCCCUGCCUGUGUAAAUUGACUCUUCAAGAGUGGGAGUUUGGAGAUUCAGAUUCGCAUUAAAAUGAUUUCCAAAAUUCUGGUCGAGAGAAAUAGACCAUUGAUGAUUGAUUUGCUGGUCCAGACGAAUGCAAAUUCAUCCCAGGAAGACAAGAAUAUGAUAAUAUUUUCAAAUCAUAGUUCAAGGUAUCUUACACUUCGUGAACAAAAUGAAGGGCAAUAAAGGGGCGAUGGCAGUUAAAAUAGACUUGGAAAAGGCCUAUGAUUGCAUCAGAUGGAGUUUUCUCAAGCAGACUUUAGAGCUUGAGAAGUUUUCAAAUGCGUGUAUGCCAAUUCUAUGGAGAUAUUGUGGAAUGGAGGCCUUCGGUAGAGAGAUCCUUUGACUUUGUACCAUUUUGUGAUGUGUAUAAAGAGGUUGGGAUAGCUCAUCAAUGAAGUAGUAGAUAGGAAGAAAGAGAAACUAGUAAAGGCUUUAAAGUCAGGGUCCCUAUGACACACUUACUUUAUGUAGAUGACCUUUUGCAGUUCGCAGAAAACCAAUAACCAACAAGCUAAAGUAAUGAGACACAUUUUGAGAUAGUUCUGUGGAUUGUUUUGGUAGAAGGUGAGUAACAGUAAGUCAAAAUGUAUUGCUCACCAAAUUUCAGCAUUAAAAGAGCAAAUUUCUCAAAACUACAAAUAGGAAUUCCACUCAUAAAAGAUUUGGGAAAGCAUCUAGAUAUGCCUACAUAGUAGAGUCAUGAGGCAUAUUUUCAGUGAUAUAGUUGAUAAAGCGCGGAAAAGGUUAGUUGGAUGGAAGAGAAAAUUUUGUCACUUACUUAAAUCAAGACUGAUAGCCAUUCCCUUCUAUGCCAUAAAAACAACCGUAUUCAAGAAUGCAAUAUUUGAAGAAAUAAGGAAUUAUGUGAGGGGUUUUCUUUAGCCGGAUGUGAAGAAAUAGAGAAUUAUUCGCGAAAUUACAAUUACUUUAUCUUAUUUUUAAAAAUAUAUUUUGGAAUUCUAAAUUAUAUUUUGGAAUUCUAAAUUAUAAUUUUUAUUUGUUCUUUAGAUCUUUAGUAUCCAUCCUUCAGGUUUGUUCCUUGAUAUCUGUGUAGUUUGAUGAUGUUACUUCUAUCAUUACUAUAUAUUUUAAUAAAAUUAUGAUGAAAUUGUAUGGAUUUGUAUUUUUUUUAAAAUUAUUUUUGUUAUUUUAGUCUACAGUAACACUCUAAAAAUAAUUCCAAAAAUGCACAUAAUCUCAAAUGUAUCUAAAAAAUAAAUAGAAUCAAAUACCUAAACAAUUUUUACCCUCUUUCUUCUUUUAUCUACUACCACCCACCACACACUACUACCACCACUGUCAUCCAUUGCUACUAUCCACCACUGUCAUCCAUCCCCUCCUUAUUCCUUUCUCCAACUUGUCAUUCUUUCUUCGCUUUCUCCCUCUUUCUCCUCCAUUUUCCUCUCUCUUUUUUUUUCCUUCCCUUCCUCCAUUUUCUAAGAUGUUCCAUCCCAUCCCUUCUCCUUUUCGGAGUGACCAGGAGUUCCUUGUAGGAAGUUGCGACCAGAUCUGAAUCUAGUUGCUACUGGAGGUCAUGACCAGAGGGUUUUCUGGCUACAACCCUUCUCUGGCUACAACCCUCUGGUAGCAAACAGAAAGGUGAAGGGAGGGGUGGGGAAGGGAGGAGGGGAGGGAAGGAGAAGAAAGGGGAGGGAAGGAGAAGAAAGGGAAGAAAGGAAGAGGGAGGAAAGAGGAGGAGAAAUGGGAUGGUGGCAUAUCCAAAAAAUUUUAAAUUCUAAAAAUGUCUCAAAAUAUAUUCUAAAAAACAUCAUCAAAAACAUUUCUAACAAUAUCUAACCAUUUAUAGUAAAAAUUUUUCACAUGUAUAUACUAUUACAGUAAAAUUUAAAAAAAUACCCCAAAAAAUCCAAAUCACACAGAGCUGAUGUUUUAUCCCAAAAAAAAUUUCCAAAUUUUGUUGCAAAUUUGGCGUAUGUGGAACUAGAUUUAAUAUGCAUGAAGAGUUCAGAGAUCAACUUGAGCAAAACCUUCCUAAUAGGCAAAAAUCGAGAAAAAGGAAAGAUUGUAGCGGCCGAAAUGAUAUCCAUACCCAUUUUAGUGGUUUCUAUAUUAUUUGCAAGGAGUAAAGACUAGUGCCGCGGCUCACCCGAGAAGCAACAUCUUUCUAUUCACUUCGUGUAUCAACACUACCAUUAUGAUGUUUAAUUGCAUCAAGGAAGCAUUGUUAAGUUGUAUUGAUUUUGGUUCUUAAGAGUCACUUAAGUUGGUAGGGCUAUUAAUUAGAUAAUCGUACUCAAACUCUCUUCCCUUUUAUAGUUUUAUCCUUAUAAGAUUUAAACUCUCUCUUAAAUUGAAAUUAUUAUAUUGAUCUUGGACUAAAGUGGAAAAUCAAAUUCACUAAGGUAGAAUACAUUAACUAUCGCAGUGACUACGCCUUUUAAGUUAGGUUACAUUAACCAUUCUUAGGAAUUGAUUGACACGAACUUAUGAGAUAGAUUGCUGACUUCUGUUGUAGUUUUAAACCACCUCUCUUAGAUCAGUAGCAACCACCAAUGUUAAUGGUAGCAGAAAAAGAAAAGUUGCAAUUGAGACUUCGGGCUUACAGCUCAUAAGCACAAUAAGAAAGCGUGAUUUUUUAAUUAGGCAUAACAUAAACAAUACACACAAUUAGAACAAUAAACAAGUUCAACAUUUUAACGGGAAUAAGAACCACUUUAAACUGCAUAAAAUGGAGCUAGACCACGCUCACUUUUAUUUAGUGCCGAUAAAAUUAUUAGUUAUGGACCCAAAUUGAUAAACAAGUAUAUACUUACAAGAAAAAUUACAAAAAAAAAUAUAAGAGGCAAAGGGAAAUUUUCUUCUACUAUUUGCAUGGAGGCUUUGGCAACUUUUGAGACCUAAAAACUAAAAAACCGAGGCAACUGACUAUUUAAAAAGCCUUAUGCGACUGACUUCUACAUCCGACCUUAAACUCAAUCACGGCUCUAGUUGCUUUCAAUAGGAAAAUGAUACGGAAGGAGUGUCUAAAAAAAAAAAACUUGAACCACUUCUUACACUUUAUCUAAUACAAAUGAAGGGAAGGAGUGUCUAAAACUUUUUGAAAAGUACUAAUAUCAUGUUAUCCUCAACACUAAAGGGAUUUAAUCGCAUGCAACCAACCAAAAUAGACAUAAUAACACAUACAUAGACUAACCAAUAACAACAUGACAUUUAGACCAUCACUUAAUUAAUAAUAUUAAAUAUAAAAGGUUUGGUUUAACUUCAUGUAUAGCCUCCCUUAAACCAAACUCCUCAGAUCUGGAAAUGUCCAACAUCUUCUCUGUCUUCAAUGCCUUUGUAAAAAUAUUCGUUACUUGCUCUUCAAUUCUGCAAUAAUCAAUGUCAAAUCUCCUUUUCUCAAACCAACACACAUAUAUUUUAUACUUGAUAUCUAUGUGCUUGCUAGCCCAUGAUGAUCUGGAUUUUUGGACAACUCAAUCACUAGCUUAUUGUUACAAUAAAUUUUCGUAGGAUCAAUAUGUUUGUGUUGUAUAACACCAAGCAUGUGAUGCAACCAUAAUAUGUUUGAGUAGUAUUGUUAGCUGCUGCAAUAUAUUCUGCCUCUAUGGUAGAUAAUGCAAUCAUAUGCUUGUGCUACUUGAAAUUCCAAGAAAACACCCCAAAACUAAUAAAAAUGCAUAACCGCUUGCUUAGUACCAGAACAACUAAAUAUACAUGAUUAAUUCAUGGAUUGCUGAAGAGGUUUUGCUCUCGUGGUUAAAGUUGAGAUUUCAAAAUUUAGAGAUUUUGGGUUUAAAUCAUCCUUUCUCUCCUCAUUUCUUAAAUCUCACUAUUGGCACGAAGAAUCCCUGUGCACACAGCAGAAGCAAUUCUAACACAUAAAAAAUAUGUGAGAAGAGGAGGAGAACAAACACUCAAUAAUUUAUUUAACUCAAACAAAUAUUAAGUCAUAACCUUUCACUCACGACAACUCACAAAUCUCAACUAUGAGAUUUUCUCUCAAAUCUAAUCUCUAGACUCAACUCAACUCUCCACACCACUUCUCUUCACCUAAUAACCUACUAGACUAGUAGUAUUUAUAGGUUCUAAAACUUCCUAAAACAAAUAUAAUUGUAAACCAAAACUUAUUUGGAAAUUGACUUGAGAUUUCCUAAUCGAAUAUGGAAACUAAACAAAUAAGAUACCAAAAGGAAUUAGGAAACUAAAUACUAAAAUAGCUUGGUUUAAUUUCCUUCAUUGCCUCCCUUAAACCAAGCUCUUGAUGUUGUUAUCUCCAAUUCCAUCCCUAGCUUGAAUCUCCAUGAAAAAUUCAGUUGCUGUAUAGAUGAUAUGGAAUUCCAACUUGUAAUUGAUCUCUAAUUUCAUCUUUACGCGCGAUGGUGGAUGAAACUUGUGCUUCUCAAACAAUUUCUUCUCUUGAUCGCUCUUGUAAAGAAAUUCAAAUAUAUCCACCAAUUCUUUAUUAGAUACUCCACAAUUCAAUUCAUCCAUAUCACCAAUAAAGCCUCCAAAGAUCAGAAAAUCAUAAUUUUACCAAUAAGGUUUUCAACAUCACCAUAUUUUUCCUUUAGUUUUUCAACACUAAUAACUGCAUCAACUUUUGCAGUAUCACAACCUUCAAUUAAUUUGUCAACCUCACAAUUGAUUUCAACCAAUCUCAUCACAUGAUUUUUCUCUUCAAAAGAUUCAUCAACCUCAAUAAAGUCAACAAUUUCUCUAUCAUCAUGAUUUUCAAUCACAUCUUUAAUUUGAUCAAUGAUAAAUGACUAAUUUACGUAAUAAUUGUAUGAUAUUUCAUAUUAUUUUUAGUCACUUUAGUUAUAUUAUUGGAAGAAAAUGAAUCAUUUUGGCUAUAAUUGGUGAAAAAUGCUUUUAAGUGAUUAAAUGAGGAUUUUAUCACUUUUUAGUGGAAUUUUGCGCAUUUUGACAGUUUUGACACAUCUUCGUAUUUUGGCUAUAACUUGAGCUACAAUGAUCGGAUUGAGAUGAUUCUUGAACCAAUUUGAAGAUAAGAGAUACAUCUACAACUUUGGUGAAGACAUCUGAAUCCAGUUUGAAGGUUUUCCAAGUCAAAAAGCCGAAUUACAGUAGCUAAUUUCUACUGGUCGAAACUGGAACAUGGCAGUGAGCAGGUAAGGGUAUUUCGGUCAAUUCUCAGCCCACAAAAAUUCAAAUGAGGUGAUUCUUGAUGCAUUGGAAAGCUAACUCAAAAGGCUACAAGUUUCAUGUUUUGGUCAAGAGCUAAAUCAGCUUUUAUCAUCAAGAAAAAUGCAGUUGAAAUUGAGUCAAAAUCGGAGCAGAGCUGGAAAUUGAUCCAGAAGUGACCAAAUGGUCACUGUAUCAAUCCGGCCGGAUUUAAGACCGGAUUUAUGGCCGGAUUGUGGUCAGAGAAGUCUGCUCUUUACGCGGAAAACUCAAUUUCACCUCCACCAACUCACAUGUGAUGCUAUACAUGUGAGAAACAUUCCAAGCUGUAAAAGGGAGAUGUAAUCCUCAUUUCUUGACCACCUUUCAUCAUUAAAGAGCCAAAAUUCAUUGCAAGAAGAAGAGGGAGGGGGGAGACCAAAGAUUGGGGAUCCAACAGUAGAAUAGAGAGAGAUACGGGAGAAGCUUGAAGUUGCAGAAAUGUAGUUCUUUCAUCUCCCUAGUGUUAGUUUAGCUUAGUAUAGAGUAGUAUAGUUUGUCCAUUCUUGUUUAUUAUCUAGAUUAGGAUGAAGAUGGAGGAUGAAGAAGGCAAGGAAGAAAGCUCAUGUGACAAGGGUUGUAUUCCUUCCAAACUCUUUAUCUUUUGUACUUGAUUCCAAGUUUAGUUAAUAUACAAGUUCUGGAUUUUGUGUUCAUUAUGUAUUUUUAAAAUUUAUACCUUGGGUUUGGUUGAACUUUCUAUGAUUGUUAGUGUUUAUUAUUUGGUUAUUUGAUUGCUAUGAUUUGAGCAAGUUAUUUAGCACUUUGACUCCUUAAAUCAUGAUUAAUCUGGUACCAUUAAUUAUGAUUAUCUAAGGUGUUGUUUCUGCAAUGAAAAUUGAGAUUUAACACUAGUUCAAGAAGUGCUAAACAUAGGGAGUACACUCACGAAAGUAGAGGUGCAUCUAUGUGGUUUUAGUGAUUCAUUUCAUGUAAUUUCACUAAAGAAAUGAACUUGUAGCUAAUUUCAUAACCAUGAGAAUAGGUAUGGAUUAGUUAUGAGUAUAAUUGAUUCACUACGAAAGUAGGUUUCACAUGUUUAAGGAAAUUACACCAUAACUAGUCUAGAUAGUAGUAUUCAAUGAUCCAAUUAUAGCACUUGCAUGAGUAGUUAGGGAUACCACAACCUAAGGAGCUUUCAUUUGCUAUUUUCUUGCAUAAUUUCAGUAGGUUUUAAUUUGUUAUAAUUCAUUGAUAGUCUAAAUAAUAGAGAAGGUUUAGUAGAACGGUAAUUGCAAUCUUCCUUGUGGGAUCGACCCUUAAUACCCUAUACUCACUCACGAUUCGUAUACUUACGAUAAAUCGCGUGUGGGGUAUUUAGGAGUUUAUAAAUGUAAAAUUUGAUUAGGAUGAGCUUAAUUGUAUAUGUAUACUCCGCGCACGUCAAGUUUUUGGCGCCGUUGUCGGGGAAGAUUUGGCAAUAUCGGUGUGAAGAACAACUUUAUUAGUUUAGACAUAAUAUUAGUUAUAAUGUGAAUGUUAUUUUCUGUUAUUUUUGUGUUUUAUGUGUGUGUGUGUUUCAUUACCUAUUUUUCUUACUAAUUUUGCUUUUGAGGUUGUUUAAAAGCAAUUUUAGGUGAUGAGAGGGGUAGGUCAAUUUGGAGGACAAUGCUUGAGAAGUGGAAGAAUGGCAAUGGAUGGUUAUCAAGUGCAAAGCUCCUUCAACAGAGGUAACUAAGAAUUUGCUGAAUGUAUGUCUUUUGAAGAUGGUAUAAGGUGCUUAAAGGCUAAAUUGGAUGUUAUGAUGUUACAAGUUCAACUGGACACAAUUAUGCAUGAAAUUGAGCAAGGAGGAAUGCUAAUGCUUUUAAUUCUUAUCAUGUGAUUUGUGACUUGUGUGGAGGUUAUCAUGCUACUAAUACAUGUAUGCAAGCACAAAAUGUGGAUUAUUAUGAUGAAUUAGAGCAUUACAAUCCUUGUUUUGAUCAAUACAGUGCUAAUUGGAGCAAUUCUCCUGCUUAUGGUUGCAAAAUCAAUGUGCAUAUAGUGAUUAUCCGUAUUUUUAUGAUUACCAACCUGAAAGUGUCCAAUAUGAAUCAAAACCAUCUUGGAGUUGGCAAUAGAAAGGUUAGCUAAUGCACCUCUACCUUGGAGUUAGAAAGUGAACCAUUAGUAAUGAUUCUAAUGCAUCUUGGGAGCUAGCUGUAGAAAAUUAUUCUAAUCAAUUUGAUUCAGCAAUAGAAAAGCUAGCAAAUGCAACUUCCGACCGUUUUGAUAGGAUUGAGGAAAGAAUAGAUGAAUUAGCUUCUCACUUUGGUAGAAUACAUGAGCAAUUGAAUGAAUUGCGUGGAGUUAUUUCUCUAAUAAUUUGCAAAAUGAUCCUAGCAUGAAUGGUGGGAAUGUUGUAUGUGAAAAUGGAUUGCAUUUUGAUCAAAAUGAUGAUUCUAACUUGUGUUUUAAUGAGCAAAUAUCCAUUUCAUAUGAUAAUAUCUUUGAAACUAACUUUGAGCCUCAAGAAGUGAGUUUUAAUGACUCAUUUUUCACCCCUCUUGAGGAGUGCAUUGAAAGUAUAGGUUCUAAGGGUAUUGCUGCCCAAGAUACUCUCAUGACAUUUCUUUGGUAAAUUCUCAAGUGGUGCAUAUUCAAGGUAAUAUUAUGAAACACUUGGGAUAGGUAAGUCACUUUCAUUUCUCACAUCAUUAAUCAUGUGGCUUUGGCUAUAAAGUCACCAUUUAAUGAUCCACCACGGCCUAAAAUGGUGGAUUAUUCGUUAACUAAACCUCCUUGAAAAAUGAGGAGAAAUAGUCAAGCUAUUGACUUUAAAGAAGCGCUUAUUGGGAGGCAACCCAAUGUUUGUUUAAGUUGCUGUUACUUUGGAGUGAUUUUAUGUUUAAAGUAUAAGUUUGAGUAAUUUUGUUGUUUUUCAUUUGUAAGUUUUGGAAAAGUGACCAAAUGAGGUGAAAAAGGCGAAGUUUGAUCAAAGAUCUCAUACCUCAAUUCAGUAAUUGUGGUUUUUGAUGCAUUAAGAGGUUUAGAAUGCAUGUUUAGAUCAUUUUACAUGUGCGUGAAUGGUUUAUUUUGACAUAGAAAUGAUCUAGGGUGUAUUUUGAAUAAUUGGGGUCAAACUGAAAAUUGCAAAAAUUCUGCGAUAAGUGCAGAAUCAAUGGAUCCGAGCUCUCGGAUCCACUUCUGAAUCAGAAUUUUUUUUCCAGCUCACUGGCCAGAAUUCGGCCGACAAUCCGGCCGGAUAUCCGGCCAAAAAUCGGCCGGAUUCUGGCGAUAUUUCAGCUUCAAGAGGAAUCCGUGAACGGAUUCCUAACAAUUCCCCUUCCUUUUUCUUCAACCUACACACACCACUCACUAAAACACCACUUUUCACCAUUUAAUCUUCAAAUAGCCUUCACCAAAUCACUUUCUCAUCUUUUAGAGUGAAUUUCAUAGUACAUAUUCUUUCAAAAACAACUCUAAAGUGGAUUCAACCUUACCAAUAGUUAGGGUUGUACUUUCUUGAAUCACUCAAUUGAGGUCAAAUUGGAGUAAGUUUCUUGGGGUUUUCACAUCAUAUUUAUCACUUAACAUCACCAAACCAAUUUGAGGUAACAAUUCUUCACCUAACUUUGUUAUUUGAAUUUUGCCAUGGUUGAAUAUUUUCUAUUUUUAGGCAAAUUUUUAUAUGUGAAGUUAGGUGUAUUUAUUUGAGCUUAUUGAUGUUAUUGGUGAUUGUUAGUGAUAAAUAUAUUUUGUGAUUUGCAUUUAUUGUAUUUAUUGGUGAAUUCUUGCUAGUUUUAUGCUUAAUUUGGCUUGGUAACAAAGUGUUAUUAAGUGGCCAAUAUAGCAUUUUAAUUAGCUUAGUGGGAGUUUUUGAUAUUCAUGUGAGUAAUUUAGAUUACCUAAUGAAUGAAAAGGUGCUUGAUUGAAUGAUUUCUUGAAUUCUUAGGUAAUUCUAAAUGGAACUUAUAUAAUGGAACUUAUUUUGUUCAUGAUUGUGGAUUUUUUGUGAAAUUAGCUUCCCUUUGCUUUGGAUACUAAUGCAUAUAUUUGAUUAGCAAAGAUUAGCUCAUUUCAUGUUUUUAUCCCAUGAACAUUGUAUGGUUCCACAUGCUCGAUCAUUUUUCCUUUUCCUUGACUUGCAUGUUUUCUUCUUGUUGAUUGCAACCGUUUAUUUUUAAGAAAUUUAUUUGUUUUGAUUUUGUCUUUUUCAGGGUGCAAUAAGUGAACUCUCCAUUCUUUCUCAAAUACGGUUGGAAAUUCAUCACAUUGCCAUGGAUUUGGAUCGCGCAAGUCAUAAGGGGAGUAUUUUCUUUUACUCUUUAUUUAUUUUCCUUUCUCACAUUGAGGACAAUGUGAAGUUUAAGUGUGGGGGAGGAAAUAUUUGAACUUGCAAAUACUUUCUAUGUGAUGAUAUUUUAGAUUUAAAUGCUUAGAAAUGUUGGAAUUGUGUUUGAAUUAUUUGCCAUGUGGAUAAUUUGCUUGAAAUUGGGUUUGUUGGCAGGGAGUUUUCAUCCAUUUAUAAGGAGAAACUCUGUAAAAAUUUUUAAAAUCUUUUCCAAUAUUUCACUUAUAGCCCAAAAGUUCUUCAAAUUUUUCAUUUUCAUUCAAAAAGGGCUAAUUUGUUCCAACCUUAAGUGUUUAUUCUUCCAAUUGUUGAAACUUUAUAUGUAUUUUGGAAGUUUAGUCCUCAUUUAACUUGAAAAUGAUUAUUAUGCAAUUAGGAUUUUUGCAUUUUAGAAAGUAUAUUGGAUAAAGUGAGGAAAAUAUGCCUAUAAUUUUACAUGUUUAAUGAAAUUUCUUCUCUUUACUUAAUUUUAUAAGUAAGUGAUUGAUAUAGUUGAUAAAGGUUAUACUCCUCCUUUGAUUAGUCUUAUAUAUUUUCUAAGAGGGAAUAUCUAUUUAUUGUCCUUUAUUUCUAAAAAAAAAAAAAAAAAAAGAAAAAAAGAGAAAAAAGAAAGUAAAAAAUUAUUCUACUCCAAUGAUUUUUGUACCGAGUAACCGGGGUUGGCAUCUACAAAUGUCGAUUUUCGCGUAAAAAGGUACUUGAAUUAAGAAUGCAUGCAACUUGAAUAAGUGAAAUGUUGAGUAACCGGGAAUCUUCACCUAAAAGUGUCGAUUUUCGCGUAAAAAGGCAUUCUCACUAUUUAAGUAAAAUUAGUAUGAAUAAAUCCCUCUUAGUUGUAAAAUUUGAGAAAAAGAUGAUUAUAGGAGGAGGAAGGCUAUAAAUCGACUAUGUGAUUUACUUAUUUGUGAAAUUAGGUUAGGGUAAGAGAUUACGUUUAACUUGUUAAUUAAGGUAUAAUUAUCUUUCCUUUACUUGAUAUUAUGAGUAUUUAGUGUAAUUGAAUAAUUGUAUAAUGAUUAUUUUUCAGUCUGAGAAAUUAAAUUUGACAAAAGUGCAUAUAUUGUUUCACCGCUUGAAUCAUUGUAGUUGAUUAUGUGUGGAUUGCUUGAGGACAAGCAAUGAUUUAAGUGUGGGGGAGUUUGAUAAGUGAUAAUUUAUGUAAUAAUUGUAAUAUUUAUAUUAUUUUUAGUCACUUUGUUAUAUUAUUGGAAGAAAAUGAAUCAUUUUGGCUAUAAUUGGUGAAAAAUGUUUUAAGUGAUUAAAUGAGGAUUUUAUCACUUUUUAGUGGAUUUUGUGUAUUUUGACAGUUUUGACACAUUUCGUAUUUUGGCUAUAACUUGAGCUACAAUGAUCGGAUUGAGAUGAUUCUUGAACCAAUUUGAAGAUAAGAGAUACAUCUACAACUUUGGUGAAGACAUCUGAAUCCAGUUUGAAGGUUUUCCAAGUCAAAAAGCCGAAUUACAGUAGCUAAUUUCUACUGGUCGAAAUGGAACAGGGCAGUGAGCAGGUAAGGGUAUUUCGGUCAUUUCUCAGCCACACAAAUUAAAUGAGGUGAUUCUUGAUGCAUUGGAAAGGUAAGCAAAGGUUACAAGUUUCAUGUUUGGUCAAGAGCUAAAUCAGCUUUUAUCAUCAAGAAAAUGCAGUUGAAAUUGAGUCAAAAUCGGAGCAGAGCUGGAAAUUGAUCCAGAAGUGACCAAAUGGUCACUGUAUCAAUCCGGCCGGAAUUUGGCCGGAUUUAAGGCCAGAUUUAUGGCCGGAUUGUGGUCAGAGAAGUCUGCUCUUUAUGCGGAAAACUCAAUUUCACCUCCAAACUCACAUGUGAUGCUAUACAUGUGAGAAACAUUCCCAGCUGUAAAAGGGAGAUGUAAUCCUCAUUUCUUGACCACCUUUCAUCAUUAAAGAGCCAAAUUCAUUGCAAGAAGAAGGGGGGGAGACCAAAGAUUGGGGAUCCAACAAUAGAAUAGAGAGAGACGGGAGAAGCUUGAAGUUGCAGAAAUGUAGUCUUUCAUCUCCCUAGUGUUAGUUUAGCUUAGUAUGAGUUGUAUAGUUUGUCCAUUCUUGUUUAUUAUCUAGAUUAGGAUGAAGAUGGAGGAUGAAGAAGGCAAGGAAGAAAGCUCAUGUGACAAGGGUUGUAUUCCUUCCAAACUCUUUAUCUUUUGUACUUGAUUCCAAGUUUAGUUAAUAUACAAGUUCUGGAUUUUGUGUUCAUUAUGUAUUUUAAAGUUUAUACCUUGGUUUGGUUGAAUUUUUAUGAUUGUUAGUGUUUAUUAUUUGGUUAUUUGAUUGCUAUGAUUUGAGCAAGUUAUUUAGCACUUUGACUCCUUAAAUCAUGAUUAAUCUGGUACCAUUAAUUAUGAUUAUCUAAGGUGUUGUUUCUGCAAUGAAAAUUGAGAUUUAACACUAGUUCAAGAAGUGCUAAACAUAGGGAGUACACUCACGAAAGUAGAGGUGCAUCUAUGUGGUUUUAGUGAUUCAUUUCAUGUAAUUUCACUGAAGAAAUGAACUUGUAGCUAAUUUCAUAACCAUGAGAAUAGGUAUGGAUUAGUUAUGAGUAUAAUUGAUUCACUACGAAAGUAGGUUUCACAUGUUUAAGGAAAUUACACCAUAACUAGCCUAGAUAGUAGUAUUCAAUGAUCCAAUUAUAGCACUUGCAUGAGUAGUUAGGGAUACCACAACCUAAGGAGCUUUCAUUUGCUAUUUUCUUGCAUAAUUUCAGUAGGUUUUAAUUUGUUAUAAUUCAUUGAUAGUCUAAAUAAUAGAGAAGGUUUAGUAGUACUGGUAAUUGCAAUCUUCCUUGUGGGAUCGACCCUUAAUACCCUAUACUCGCUCACGAUUCGUAUACUUGCGAUAAAUCGCGUGUGGGGUAUUUAGGAGUUUAUAAAUGUAAAAUUUGAUUAGGAUGAGCUUAAUUGUAUAUGUAUACUCCGCGCACGUCAAUCAAUGAUUUCUCUUCUUUCUCAACCACUUGAGAAAUUUCUUCUUCAAUAACAAUUUUCAUUUUCAUGUGUAUCGACAAUUGUUACAAUUUCUUCUUUCUUUGCUCAUCAAAAAUUCUUUUCUUCUUCCUCAUCACAAAUUUCUUCUUCACCAUGACCAUAGGAAUUUGUUAAAAAUUUCCAUGCCUCCUUCGCUGUCUUUACGUGUAUGAAUUGUUUGGCUACAUGUGACUGGAUUUGGGUAUGGAGAUAGUAUAAUGCCUUGUAGUUCUACUGUUUUUCCUCUCUAAUUAUUCAACUGCAUCCCUUAAUAAUUCUGUGCCUUCUAUAGGUUCCAUGAACCCCUUUUGGAUAAUCUUCAAAACUCUAAUAGUUUUGAAAAAAUUCUUCAUCAUCGGCCUCCAAUUCUCAAAAUUGUUUUUACCAUUAAAGAUAAAUACACACACACAUGGUAAAUAAUGCGGAUCCAUAUUUUAAUUUCACAACAAGCCCUAGGAUCAAAGCCUAGAGUUUUGAUACCACUUGUUAGCAUGAAGAAUCCCUGUGCACACAGUGGAGCAAUUCUAACACAUAUAAAAAUAUGUGAGAAGAGGAGGAGAACAAACACUCAAUAAUUUACUUAACUCAAACAAAUAUUAAGUCGUAGCCUUUCACUCACGAUAACUCACAAAUCUCAACUAUGAGAUUUUCUCUCAAGUCUAAUCUCUAGACUCAACUCAACUCUCCACAUCACUUCUCUUCACCUAAUAACCUACUAGACUAGUAGUAUUUAUAGGUUCUAAAACUUCCUAAAAUAAAUAUAAUUGUAAACCAAAACUUAUUUGAAAAUUGACUUGAGAUUUCCUAAUCUAAUAUGGAAACUAAACAAAUAAGAUACCAAAAGAAAUUAGAAAACUAAAUACUAAAAUAGCUUGGUUUAAUUCACUCACCCCUCUCUACUUAAAAAAAGAUAAAUUCACAAAUCAAUUUGAGCAUACACUUUGUCGGUGACUAAAGUGAGAAAAAGUAAAAUUACUCGGUGACCAAGAUAAAAUUCACUCUCUCUAGCAAACUAAAUUCUUCUCUUAAGUCGAACACUGCUACCACUAAUGUUCUCUGUGGUAUGCUGCUUUUUGAUAUCCUGAGGCAACGAUUUUAAUUGGAUCCACUACUUGUGUCAUCACCAUGCAAUAAUCAUGUUUUCAUUUCAUGCUUGUUCCAAUUUGCAUUUUCAACUACCUCUGGAAUAGAAUAUAGUUAACAACGACUUUUCAUGAUUCGUCAUUUUUCUUGAUUAUAUUUUAUUUCCUCCAAAGCUGCUUUUCUUUUUUUUUUUUUUUUUAAUUUCUCCAAAGCUGCUAUAACACCUGCUUUAACAAUUUUUAUUUUGUGGAUAAUUGUUCAGCUUUUUUUGGCAAAGGUUUAACUUUUUUUUUUCUAAAUAAAAUAUCCUUUUGUGCUGCUAAAGUGAAUAAGUGUAAGAUUCGUUUCACGUUCUAUAUACAUAUUUAAGCAUGUGGCUCCUAUCAUACCAAAAUUAUAAAAUUUGUCGAUUGAUAUCUUAAACUUUUUUUACAAUGAACAUCAGUCAAGAUCAUUACUAUAAAUUCAGCCAAAAUGUAUUCCACAGCACACCCCAGUUUUCUCCAAAGAUCACAAACAGCAAAUAUGUCAAAGACAUCAGCCACAUUCAUUCUCUUCAUGGUUCUAUUCACCUUUGCAACUUGUAAGUUUUUUCUUUUUCAAAUUAAAAUAAUCAAGUAAAGUAUAGGUCGAUUGCUAAAAUCUUUUUUCAUUUUAUUUCUUUUUUUUUCCUCCUCAUCUUCGAACAAAUUAAGCCAAUUUGAUUGUCAAAUUUUUCUUUUUUUGGGGAUAUGUAGCUAUACGCAGCUAAUUUGUCCAUGGCAACAAUGGAAACAACAGAAGCGGAAACGCUGAAGACAACAAUCUCCAGAAAACUGAUGCAACAAAUCCAGUGCAGUCAAUUGCUUGUGGUUUGGACAUAGGCUGCAAUUAUUGCGGCUGUUAUGGUACAAAUGUUUGGGGUAUUGGUAUAGAAGCUGCACUUGGGUAAGGACAAACGAGGACAGUCUCCAUGCUGGGGGGUGAUAAAAAUUGUUCUAGCUAGUACUUUGUACGUUGUUUCGUCAAUAACACCUUUGUGCUUCCUCAUGGUCAUGAAGGUGAAAAAUGAUUAAUGUUUUUAAGUUAAUUUUGAAUGGGUUUGAAGUUCUAUAUACACACAUAUAUAUAUAUAUAUAUAUUGCAUUGGAAUUUUUUUCCCACUGAAUUAAUAAAAGGAGUGGCCAUCAAUUACAAUGAUUACCAUCACACUCCGAAUCCCACACUAUGGGACAUUUAAUUUUUUUUUUUAUAAUCCUUAUGUGUACAUUUUAAAAACCAAAAGGGGCUAUAUGGUAAAGCAUUAUAUCAUAUGGGGGUUAUAUGGUAAAUUAUAAAAUCAUACGGGAUUAGUGUGUCAUGUAUAUUAUAUUUAUAUAUUUGAUCAUUUCAACAAUUUUAAUUUUUAAAUAAGCGUAAUUUCAACAUUUUAAUAGGUUCCGUUACGAAUGAUUAUUUCCGUCACUUUGAUGCUUUGAUCUAAAUCAUGAUGUAUCGCUUUCGAAACUAUAGGGGAAUUAUGUACAAAAAUGCUAAAUCAUAGGGGAGUAAAGUGUAAUUUGCCAAGUAUUUUGACACGUGAUAGAAUGUGUGUAAUAUUCCUAUUUUUUUUUUUCACUUACCAUAUUACUAAAUAAUAUUAUUAGUCAAAUUCUUUUGCCACAAGAUUCAAUGAAUAUAAUCGCUAUUAAGAUCACAUUCUAUUCUUCUUAGUUUUCUUAACAAGACAUAACAUAUUUAGUAAGGCGAGUAAUUUGUGAUCAAUCAAAUUAUUUCCUUUUUCUUAUUUCAAUCAACUAAUUAACAUAUUACUUUUUUUAUAACAUUGUUUUCUCCAAAAUAAAGUUUAUAAAUUCUAGCAUGGGAUUUAUACUCAAAACACAAAGCCUAAAUCUUAUUUUCUUCUCUUACGUUACAAGGUGAGAUUGAGGGUGAGAGCAAGAAAACAUUUGCGAUAGGGGCUUGACAAGGAGAGGGAGAAGGAAGGCCGACCAUCGCGGUAAUUUGUCAAGCAAGAACUCGAACUUGUCGGCUUUAUGCGUUAUUAGUCAGUUAAGCAUCUUUCUUGAUCAAAUCUAGUGGUAUUAGUAGCGCAGCCGACCUGAAAAUCAUAGAUAUAUUAAUUCAUGGGAUGAUCUUUCUUAUGUCAUGUAGUAAAUCAAAGUUUGACUUGCCUGAGUUUUCACUUUUAGCAAACUACUGAUUACUUUAAGAACGUACUGGCAUUGAAUGUAGUGUUUACUUGGAGGCUCAAGAAUGCAUGAAUAAUAUAAAGUUGCGAACAUGAUUCCAUUGUCCUAUGUGGCUCUGUACAUGCAUUAAGAAUGGAGCCAAAUCUGUUACUGCAAUCUUUUUUAUUUAAAUCCUUUAAUACAAAUUAAUAAGAACCUUAAAUUAGUAUACCUUUCUUUAAGCAUGCUUUGAUAGAUCGUAAUUAUGCUAGAAGAACUUGUGAGUUAUUAACUGUUAGUUUAUCAAAUCUCAUAAUUCCAAUCAUGGAUGGCCGUUGUUCAAAUACAAGUUCAUAGAACUAUCAUGCUUUCUAUUUCACAUCCGCCACAAUUUAAACAGGCCAAACUAUCGUUUUAUCAUGAUUGAUUAAUAGAAUAUUAAAGACUAAGAAUGCUAAUAUUUGUUUUCGUGGCUUGAACACUGACCAUCAGUUUCAGUACCUCGCAAAUGCUUUAUAAUACCACUUUGAUUAAUAUAGACCAAUAGUCUUGAUUUAUAAUGUGAUCCAUAUGAGUUUUUCUUUCUUUCUUAUUCAACGAAUUCUAAAGCAUCGAGUUAGACUAAUAAUAGAUCUGACUAGUUACAUGAUCAAGUUAUAAGAAUAUAACUAGGGACUAUCUCUCGGUUUCUUGCAUAUUAGUAUGCUUAGGAAGAAUUCAAGAAUAAAAAACACCUUGCUAUGACUUUCAUUAAUGAUGUCACCGGUUACAUGUACUUUUGAGAAAAGUAAUAUGAUCAUUUUGAUCAUUAAAAGUAAUUAUUGUUAAUUAGCAGCCUAGUUUUAUAAUGAGUAAAUUUUAUAUAUACUGACGAUGUAUAUAUACACGAUCACGGUUGGAUAUACGAUAUAUAUGCAAAAUUAGAGUUUCAAAUUUGAAUUCAGAUUAUGUGUCAUGCAUCUAAUGGCGAAAGUAUAUACACUGUCAGUAUAUAAAGAUUAAUCUUUUUAUAAUUAUCAUGUAUUAUUCAGAAAUGUCUCAUUUAGUUUUAAGGCUAAUUUUAAACCUUUAAUGUACCAAAGUUACUACUAAUUCACAACAAUAAUUGCAUUUAUAUCAAGGUCAUUUUAUGAUCGUUAUGGCCUGCAAACGGUAACUUAAUAACGGUGGCAUCCUAGUUGGUUAAGCUAAUUAAAAGACUUCUUUAAAUGCAUGACCUUUCUAAAAUAAAGACUCAGCUAAUUUCACUAAACUUUCCUUAAUGAUUGACUUUCCAAGAAUAUGGACCUUUGUAAAUUAGGGUUCUAUCCAAAGUUAGGAAGACUUACCAAAAUAGUAACCUUCUAAGAAGGGAAACUUUCUAAAUGGGAAGCUUACGUGAAAGGGAAAUGUUAAAUAUAGAAAUUUUACAUGUUUAGGAAUGUUAAGUAUCCUAUGGUUACACAGCUCUAGGGAUGAUUUAAAAAAUAAAUGUUGAAUGAUCAAUGCAGUAAAGUAAUAGAUUUAUAUGUCAUUUCUCUAGGGUUAGAAGGCAAGGAUCAAGAACCCUAGUAGGACUUCCUAUCAAGUUAAUUGAGGUGAGUGGGAUUCACUCUGUAUUUUCAUAAAUACGCUUUUAUAAUGUUUAAUGAAGUGUUACUUUCCAUAUGAAAAUGGAACUUGUAUGAUUAUAUUUGUCGCACCUAAAUGUUUCUUACUAUGAAAGUUAUAUGUAUAUGGCAUGUUAAAUGUAAAUGUUUAUUCAAUGUAGCAUGAAUUGUUUGAGUGAAUGUGGAUGCUGAUGUAAUGGCUCUAAAGGUCACGGCAUAAUCUAUAGGGGUUAUUGUCUUAGAAAUAUCAAUAUAAAAUAAAGUAAAUUGCAAUAAUGGUCAAAGUGUACUCCGAAUGUUCAUUUGACUUCCCGUUCUAGUGAAGUUAAUCACUAGACUGAGUACUCAGCGUCGUUAAAGGUGUGUAACUGUUAAGAGUCGAUAAAUGUUUAAUGAAUAUUUAUAUGUUAUACAAAUGUGCAAAGAAUGGUUUAUCUUAGUGUAAUUUGUGUGCUUCUGUAUACACUUAUUUGCAAAUGUAUGAAUAUAUAUAUAUAUAUAUAUGGAAAAAUCGUUCAAAACAUCCAUCACAUUUAAUAAAAUAACUUUUUUCGUCCCUUACUUUUAAAAAUAUAAUUUUACGUCCCUUAUAAAUUCACUUUGAUCAACUUUGGUCCCUACCUAGAUUUCUGACUAGUUUUUAGUCGAAAUCCAUCAUGUGCCUUACACGUGAUUAUGUUUUAGAGGUAAAAUUGUCAAAUCAAAAUUUACAUAAUCUGAUCCAUAGUUCCUCACAUUUCACAAAAUGAAUUUUUUUUGUCCCUCACAUUUCACAAAAUGAAUUUUUCAUCCCUCACAUUUCAUAAAAUGAAUUUUUCAUCCCUUAUUGACAGUGUGCAUGAAUAGUUUUUUUAAUCCAUGUAUAUAUCUAUUUGAUUUCACCUGAAUAGUACGAAUAGCAUAUAAUAUAUCUUUAUUUGAUUUCACCUAAACAGGUUAAUUGUAAUUGUACACUUGCUAUUCAAUAGAUAUAUACAUGGGUUUAAAACUAACAAUUUUAUUUUAAACCCAUGCAUAUAUCUAUUUGAUUUCACGAUGUGAAUUUGUUCAAUAUUUGUGGUCUUUUCUCUUUUGGUAGCAAUUCAUUUAUUGAGUUGUAUAAUAAAAUCAUCUAAUUAAUGGGUCCUAACUCGAAUUCUAUAGUCAUGCUAACGAAUUGCAGUUUAAAUCUAAAAUUUUUACUCGUUACAUUUAAGACUAACAGUUGAAUUACUUGCCUUAUAAUUGUCUUAAAAUUUGAAAGUGCCAAUUACAUACUUUUUUUGUCAUACUUUUCGUUUGAUUAUUUUUUGUCCAAAUUUAAUUUCAUAUAAACACUCGACAAUGUCCAAAUUAUUUGAUUUCGUCUAAAUAGGCUAAUUGUAGUUAUACACAUGUUAUUUGUAUUACUUAGGUAAAAUCAAAUAAAUACAUACGUGAAUUUUAAAAAAUUAUUUAUACACAUGAUCAAUGAGGGAUGAAAAAAUUCAUUUUGUAAAAUAUGAGGAAUAAAAGAGUUUAUUUUGUGAAAUUUGAGGGACGAAAAAAUUCAUUUUGUAAAAUAUGAAGGACUAUGGAUUGAAUUGUGUAAAAUUGAUUUGACAAUUUUGCCCUUAAAAAAUGAUCACAUGCAAGACACAUGAUGGAUUCCGACAAAAAUUAGUUGAAAACCUAGGUGGGGACCAAAUUUGAUCAAUGUGAAUUUGUAAGGGAUAUAAAAUUAUACUUUUAAAAGUGAAGGACGAAAAAAUCAUUUUACAAAAUGUGAGGGACGUUUUGAACGAUUUUCCCUAUAUAUUAUAUAUGUAUGUAUGCAUGUAUGUAACACACUUGAUCUAACAAGAGUGUUAUGUUUUACUCACUGAGUAUAGUGAUGCUUAUCCCAAGACUUUAAUAUUUUUAUACAGAGGAUGAGUAUGUUUAUGCGUUUGUUGGGGCUGAUGGUGAUUGGAAUUGGUAGAGUCAGAUUACUAUUAGAAAAUUCGAAUCGCAUUUGAUGGUGUUGUUUACUAUUUACUACUUCUGCAAUGAAGAUGGGGAAUUGGGGCUUACCAAUAUGGCAAAAGCAAUUGUAUGAGAAUAUCCAUAAUAGGACCGCUUCUCAUAGUUUUCAAUAAUUAGAACUUGUUUGCAUGUUUGGCAUUUGCAUGUGCAUGAUUAAAUCGCAAUUAACCAUUCAAAAUAUUUGUCUACCAAUUCUCUCAAAACAAUUACUUGAAAUCUCUUACACUUAACCUUCAAUUAGAUGCACAACGGUAUGUGCAGAAAAUAUUUGAUUCGUAGUACGCUGAAUAAAAUUUACAGUGAAGUUCUACACGUUGUUAAUUAUGACAAACUUCAUUUUAUCAUGGAAGUCAUGAUCAUAUGUAGAAGCGAAGGAGAUGGCAAAAUCUCUACUUCAUUCUUACAAAAUGCUUAUGAAUCAUACCAAAAACUAAAUAUAACAUGAAGUAAGAAACUCAAGAUUGGUGUCUAAGGUUGUUUAUCACAUCCUUUGAGCUUGCGAGAUGUAAAAUUGACAGAUCACUUGGAGAUCAUAUAUUCUAGCUGAAGAACUUAUGCAUCUAUCAGUUUUAGGACACGAUUACUGAGAUUAACAUACGAAAUAUGAGAGAAAAAGAGGAAAUCAUUUCAUAUUUCCACUGAGGACAUCCGAAUGGAAAAUCAAGGACUAUACCUCCUUGAUGAGCUUCCUUGGGAGAUUGAAUCUUCAUGGCGCAUCCGGUGUUGCUCCAAUCUGUCAGACAGGUUUCGCAAGUCAGGAGGCUGAUGACUUCCAUCCUCCCUUGGUGUGUAAUAAACAGAAGGUGCUUCUUCCCAGAUGAAAUAACACCUCUUCUUUAGCUGCCCUUUAACUUCAUCAGGUAACCGACCCCACCAGCGUUCUUGGCAUUCAAUCUUUCUUAAAUGCUUUGCAUUGUACAUCCCUCUUGACCAAGUAUUUAGCUUGGAGCAAUCAAUGAUCUCUAUUUUCUGUAAGGAACGCCAAUCUAGUGAGUCAUUCUUACAUAUGCUUACCAGAAGUGGAAGAUUCACGAGCUCCAGAAUCUCCAAUUUUGGCAGGAAGCCAGUAAGGUUGGGCAAUCCUCCAUUGGGCGGCUGUAUCUCCCCGGUUUCUAUCACCUCUUCAAUCCCCAAACAAUCUUGAAUCUUCAGAUGCUUGAGAUUCUCCAAAUUUUUAACCAUUCAAGUGAAAUAAGCUUCUUGAACUUGUGACAUUCAAGAACUAUUAUGCUUGUCAAUUUGGAGAAGCUUUGGGUACCGACAGAACCAUCCAAUAUGCAGCACAAACUCUUGAGGUUAACCAGAUGUAGCUUCUCAAGGAAUGGAAAUACAAUCCUAGCAGCAUCAGAGCCACAGCUGAUGAUGGAGCUGAUCUGAUCACAGCCUUCUACUACACAAACUGCCAACGACCUCAUACAGUCAAUUCCAAUGUCUGAUAAACUUUUAGUGUCUUGGUUGCCAAUCAAUUCAAAAGCACUGGACCUUCUGAGAACCUUUUGAAUUGCUUCACAACAGACAUUUUCACCUGCAGAAAAUCUCAGGUGCCGUUCAGCUGGUCCUCUAGAACUAUGUAACCCCUUGUUAUGGUUUUCCCCAUUUGAGCCAACUAUGAUUCUGAAUGCUCUUAAACCGUUAUCUUGCCAAUAUCUCCUGGAGCAACUUUCGUCUAUGAAAGUAGUGAGGAAUUCUACUUUUGGGAAGUAGAUGAAAAGUGUAGUCAGACUUUCUAAGUUUGUUAUCUCUUUGGCAACACUUGUGACAAUGUCAUUCCAGCUUUGUUCUCUAGGAUCGACAAUGAUGGUCAAUUCUUCAAGAUGACAAAGUAGGCCAAUCACAUUAUGGGAAUAAUCCGUCGUGGCUGAUUAUCCUCUUUGUUAUGAUCCCCAUUAGACCUUGCUAUGAGAGGAUCGUAAACAAAGGAAACUCUCAGGCACCUCAGGCUUACUAACUGUGCAACUUCAGUUGGCAAGCUCUGCAGGCCUGUGUCUCGGAUGUCAAGAAUCUCGAGAUUGGUAAGUUUUCCAAGAUGUUCGGGUAGUGAAACCAAAUCCCGGCACUCAUUGAGAUACAAGGAUUUCAGUUCAACUAACUUGGUGAUAGAUGAUGGUAGUGAUUCUAUUUUGGUGUGAUGGAGAUCAAGAACUCUGAGCUGCACCAUGGAAGCAAAAAAAGAAUCAUCAAUUGUGUCCAGCUCUUCAUUUCUCUGGAGCAAUAGUGUUGUGGUAGUCGGACACUCAGGGCAUUCUGGCAAGGACUUGAAUCCGUUGCACAUUAGCGAGAUCCUUUUCGCGCCUAUCCAAUGUUCCUUUUCUGGUGGAUUAAACAAUUUUUCUUCUCCUCUCACAAGUAAGCUGCUGCUACUGCUGCCUUCUUAUUGUGGGUAGGUAAAUGUCAGUGCAAUCUUCCUAAAAGGAGUAGGCAUGGUGAGAAAAUUUGACCUGGAACACCACUCAAAUAGACAAGCUUUUGUAAGUGCUUGCAGGAUUUUGUGUCCUCUGUCUCGAAAUAGCCUUAAUUGUUGGACAUUAGUGUCUGCUCCAGGUAGCUCAGUGGCAGAAAUAAAUUGCUCAGAUAUCCAACAUUCGGUUAAGUAAUCCUUGUCAAUUUCAUAAUCUGGUGGAAAUAAUGCCCCGUAAAGUAAGCACUUCCUGUAAUCAUUCCCACGUAGAUUCUUGUAAGAGAACUCAAAAGCCUUGAUGAGUUCCUCAAAUUGAUCACCAAAGUUCUUCGGAGAUUGCAAGUCCGUCAAUGUAUCAUACCAAAUGGCCUCCGGCUGAUCUUUUAAACUUCUGGCAAUAGUUUUGAUUGCAAGUGGGAGACCACCUAGUUGUUUGAGUAUUUGCUCUUUUAUUCCUUUAAAGUGCGGAUGAUCUGCAAUGUCACCCACAGUUUCCUUGAACAAUUCCUCUGCAUCACCAUCAGACAACUUGCUCACUUUGAAUACUCUAUGAAUAUCCAUUGCAGCACAGUCAGGUUUGUCACGGGAUGCAACAAUUACCUUUCCCUUGUGCUUGUGAUGAAUUCCCACUUCAUUGAGAUCAAUAUCUCCAGGACAUUGAUCGAGAAGCAAUAAAUAGUCAAGUUUCUCCAGGGCCAUGGAUAUUUUGUGUGCAACAUGUGCUGUCCUGUCCAUGUGUUGAACCUCUAGCUUUAACCUUGCCAAAAUAUCUGAUUGAAUGUUCUUGACAGCACCUUCUUUCUGAACUUUCACCCAUAUAAUGGGAUUGAGUUUACCCAGUUGGUAUGCUUUGUCAUUCAGGUGCAUUAAGAUACGGGUUUUUCCUACUCCUGCCAUUCCCCAUAUGCCAAUCCUCCUCACCUCUUCAUCAUCCAGCCACUUCAGCAGCUCUUCUACCGUCUCAGACAUUGAUAUAGGGAUAUGAUCUCCAUCUCCACCAAGCAUUAUUUCCCCUGGCUCGAAUUGACAGCACCUUCUUUCUGAACUUUCACCCAUAUAAUGGGAUUGAGUUUACCCAGUUGGUAUGCUUUGUCAUUCAGGUGCAUUAAGAUACGGGUUUUUCCUACUCCUGCCAUUCCCCAUAUGCCAAUCCUCCUCACCUCUUCAUCAUCCAGCCACUUCAGCAGCUCUUCUACCGUCUCAGACAUUGAUAUAGGGAUAUGAUCUCCAUCUCCACCAAGCAUUAUUUCCCCUGGCUCGAAUUGGCUCCCUCAAUGCAUUCUGCAAGUCAAUGUUGUCUCUUAACUCUUUCAGCUCAUCCGUUUUCUCCUUUAGAUCUUCGCUGAGCUUCAUAAGCUUAUAGAAUGGCCACAUCCCGCAAAGGCACUUAUGGAUAUGAAGAUAUUUGUUUUUCAGUUCUUGGACUUCUCUUUCCCUCUCCUUUACCUGCUCAAGCCAAGUAUUGGCUAUUUCGGUUGGUUCCAUGUCAAUACUGUUCCUCGCAAUUGCUUCCUCCAAUGUUGAUUUGGUAGCACCAAGCGAUUUCUCUUCGUCUUCGAGCUUAUCCAAGUUCUGCUUAAUCUUCUUCACUUUAUCAUAUUUGUCUUUCAAACACGUGCUUGCAUCUUUAAUGGCUUGAACACCAGGCGCUAUUACGGCCCCAAUAAUGUUUGGUAAACAGGACGGCAUCCUGAAAAUUAAUUGUUAAAGAGAGAAUUCAAUUUUGAGUUAGGCAUGUAUAAAUUUUAAGUUGAAAUAGCACAUAAUGGAUGUCAGAAAUUUCUAAUGUGCUUAUUAAACCUGUCAAAUCUUUUAUGGAACCAAAAUAAUCCCAUUUAAAUAGUUUCAAAAUUUUCGAAGCUAAUUUCUCUUAAGUUGGAAAUUUAGUACACCAAGAUAACUCCAUCAGAAGAAAGACGUCACUUACAGCUCUGGUUCAACAAUUCCUGAUGACUAACAAUAUCACAUACAACUCGGAAAAAAAAAAAAAAAAGAAAGUUUGUUUCGAAGAUGCUAAUAAGAAUGAGAAUUCUAAUUUCAUUGGGUGACUGUAUAAAUCCAGUUUAUUUAACUCUUUUUUUUUUUUUUUCAUUUCUAGCCUACAGUGGAAAGAAAAAUAUACAUGUCCAAAACCCACAAUAUUGAGCAUGUGCCUACAGUUCCACUAUCUUUAACUUCCUCUACAUGCCAAUCGGUCUUUCUAGCAGUGGAAACAAAGGGUUUGGGAUAGGUACACAGUUGCGGUUUUGAUUAGAGGUGCCAAAAUGGGCGAUUUGGGCGGAUGGGCGAUUUGGGCGGGUUUAGGUUGGGUAAAAUGGAUAAUAGGUAUAAGUGAGUGAACCCAUUUAUACAAUUUAAUUAGAUAGGUAUAAAUGGGUAAAUCAAAAAAUAAAUUGGGCAACUCAAUUACCAUUAUAACCUAUUUAUUUUAACUUUUGUAAAUUCAUUUUUACAAACUAAGUUAUCAAUUUAUAUCAUCCUUUGCACCCAUCAUUAGUUUUAUAAUAUUUACUUAUAAUGCUCAAUAAGCCUAAUUAUUAAUUUUUUUUUUCAUCCGUACUCUAUGUCGCAAAUUUACAUACUAUUUAAUAAUUAAACAAUAAGAAUAUAAAAAUUUGAACUAAGUACUAUAAAAGGUAAUAUAAAAACUUAAUCCAAAAAUUUUGAAUCUCUAGCAUUUUUUUGUGUGUAAAUUUAAAAUUUCAUUUGGAAAAGUAAGAAAAGAGGAUAAAACUUGUCAUAAAUUGGUAAUGUUGAGAAAUGAGCAAGCUAACAAACUAAGAGAAAAUAAAAUGAUACGAUAAACCACAAAUAAUAAUAAAAUGAAACAAAAGUAGUUAAUAUCAUGGCAAAAUGAAAAAUUUGAAAAAAAAAAUGGGUGGGGGGAAGAGAAGAGGUUUGGAGGAAAACAAUUCUAAAUGGGUUAAUUGGAUUUGAUGGGUAUACCCAUAUGUAAAAAUUUAAGAUACCCAUACCCAUCUAUUCAUGGACGGGUACGGGCAAAUUUAAUUAAAUGAGUUUGUUUGACAGCUAUAGUUUUGAUGUAGUUGUAUGAAUGUUAUAUUAUUUAAUGUAGGCUAAUAUUACUUUGUUGUACACAUAGAUUUUGUUCAUAUACACUAACUUAAUAUACGAAUACAAUCACAACUGUGAACAUGUUAUCAAUUUCUGAAAGAAUUACAGCAAACGCACCAUUUGUAUGAAAAUUCUGCUCCAAUCGCGUAGCUGAACAAGUACUGAAUAGAAGGUGGGACCAGCAAUGGCACUAAAGAGAAUUUUUGGGUGCCAACUAUGCCAAAUUAAAUUGAAAGGGACUUAAAUCUGCGCCUGUCCACCUUAAGAAAAUAGUUUGAUGGAUUUGAUGAUCUAGAGAUUCUACACCCUCCACCUUCAGUUCAUACGUUCAGUGAACUGAUGAUCAUACCAUUAGUGAAUUGAUGAUCUCAUAAAACUUGUAACUUUAGUAUGUAGAAAUUUAGCUUUUCUUGAUUUUAUGUGUGACAUAAUUUUAGAAGAAACCAAAAAGGAAGAUAUGACAGUUUUUACAGGUUAGUGGAAGUAUCGGAUACGGGACAGGAACGAUUGUCAGUGACAACCGUUCCUGAAGGUUCACGGUCACGAUGUGGCUUCAAAAUUUGUGUGGCUCAGAUUACACCAUGUAACUCGAUUUUCACGCCAUGUGUGGGGCUCACAAAAAAGUGUUGUAAAAUUACUUUGUGUUCAAAGUAAGUUACAUCGUGUGCAAUGAAAGUUACGCGCUCUGAAAAAUGAAUACAACCGGCACAAACGGUUGCACCCCGUAUCCGUAAGUAUCCGAACUUUCUGUUUCUUCACUCGCGAUGUAAUAACACUACUGUGUACGGACAACUUGACGACAACUAGUAAUAUGACAAAAGUCAUUCAAGAAAGAAACAAACAUUCCUAUGGAACAAGUUAUUGACUUUGAGGGCUAGCAAUGAUUAAGGUUUCUCAGAACAGGGAAAAAAAAGAAUAUUAGCAAAUUUGGUCAACAUGACGAACAAAAGAAUUCGAGUACUACAACUCAUCUUCUAUGUCUUGAACAAAUACUAAAAUGCUUGAGGAUUAUGCAUACCAUACAAGAAGUUAUGAUCAAAGCAGCAGUAAUCAAUCAAGGGGACAAAGUGAUUAUAUAGACCACUUUCAAGUAGAAGCAACAGGGAGCAGAAUUUCAUGGCUCUAUUUGAUGACAAAGAGAUUUGCAUGAAGCAGUUGUAAUAACCAAAAUGCAAAAGAAAACACCAGCUUUGAGGUUCAAAGAUCGAAUGCACCUUGACUGCGAGCGGAGAGACAGUUCUGAUGAUCGGAUGGAGAAAAAUGGAUUUUUCUGUUCCGCCCUUGGAGGAUUUCUUCUAGGAAAGGAGAAGAGAGCAAGAGAGAGACUUUGAAUUAGUAAAAGUCGUCUUCAAUUAUUGUGCCAACUCUUCGAGAGAAUAAGAUUGGUAUUAGAAUUCUAGGCUUUAAUUUCAUCUUUGGUAAAACUAGAGUCAGUAGGUGGAUUCUUACAGGAUUUUAUGUUUAAAAAGAGCGAGUUAUCGAGAUUUCUGUGUUAUUAUUGGAUGGUUAUUUAGAUCAAAGAGACGAUUGCAAAGUUGUUCCCUCUCCGAUGACCUGUGCGCCUAAGUAGUCUCCAAAAUUUUGGCCUUCACAAAUGUGGUUCCCAAUGUUUCGAGUUUUGGACAAAUUUUGGAAAUUAAUAAAAUAAUUUUUUUCAGAAUGACUAACAUCAAAAUUAAAUCAACGUUAGUAAAAAAAUUUUGACUUUGUAUUUUAUUUCUUUAAUGUUCAGUGUUUCGAUCAAUAUAGUCCAUUAAAUUUCAAAUAAUGAUAUUGAAAGUUUUAAAGAUGAAGAUGUGAAGAAAUUGAAUUGAGUCACAUGUUAAACUAAGAAUUCUAAUAAUGAAAAAUUAAAACGAGCAUUAAAUAUCUUUUCCUUAUAUUUUUCCCGUCAUAUGCACUGGUGUUUGUGUGAAAUUUUUGUGGGUCAAGAAAAAUAAAUACAUUUGGAUUGUAUUGAAUGGAUAAUACUAAAUUAAUAAUUAAAUAUAAAGAUGGUUAAAUUACUACUUUGUAUCAUCUUUUAUUUUCUAUUUUUUUCCCCUUGAACAAGUAUUUUUAUUCCUGUUGUUAUUUAAGAUGAUAAAAUAGUUAUUUAAAUCCCUAAACGUUUUGCUUCAAAUAUAACACGAAAGCUUUUUAUUAUUAGAAUUCCUGGUUGUGUAUUUUCAAAAGAAAAAAUCGUUCAAAACGUCCCUCACAUUUUACGAAAUCACUUUUGUCGUCCUUCACUUUUAAAAGUGUAAUUUUACAUCCCUUAUAAAUUCACAUUGAUCAAAUUUGGUCCCUAACCUAGGUUUCCGACCAGUUUUUCCGGAAUUCACCAUGUGUUUUGCAUGUGAUCGUUUUUUAGAGGCAAAAUUGUCAAAUCAAAUUUUACAUAAUCCAAUUCAUAGUCUCUCACAUUUCAUAAAAUGAAUUGUGUUGUCCUUACAUUUUACAAAAUAAAUUUUUUAUCCCUCACAUUUCACAAAAAUGAAUUUUUUUCAUCCCUCAUUGACUAUGUGUAUAAAUAGCAUUUUGGGAUAAUUUCAGAUACCUCCCCUGAGGUUUCUGACAGUCUCACUCUCCUCCCUUGUGGUUUCAAAAAUAUCACAAACCUCCCCUGUCAGAAUUUAGGUCCCAUUUCUUACAUCAUCAUGGCCAAAAAGACUUAAAUACCCUCACAAGUCAGCUAAUAUUUCGUGAUUAUCAGGACAAAUACAUUCCAACUCACGUAAUUAUUUUUUUCUGUGCUAUAUCUAAUCUCCCUUAUAUAUAUAUAUAUAUAUAUAUAUAUAUAUAUAUAUAUAUAUAUAUAUAUAUAUAUAUAUAUAUAUAUAUAUAUAUAUAUAUAUUGUUAAAUAACUAACACCUAACAUGAUAUAUAUUUUUUUAACACCUAACAAUUCCAAAUUUAUGCGUACCAUUACACUACUUUUAAUAGAUAUACAUGGUCAAGUAACUAACAUCUAACGUAAUAUAUAUAUUUGUAAACUGAUUAUACCUCAUAAAUCACCCCGUGUAAGGUAUUUAUAAGCAAAUUAGUAUUAGUCAUAUAGAUAAAAUUACAUACCCACUGCAGCUUGUAAGGAGAUGCAUAAGUGGGUCAAAGUACCAAUAACCAUUCCAAAUGUAUACAUACCAUUGCACUAAGCAUAUUGUUGCGAUGACUAAUUGCAAUAUGCAUGUGAACAAAUAACUGUAUGUUCAACAAUUUCUAUGCAUCGUACUUGGUCGAUAACACGGUGUACAUUAUUUCAAUCAGAUUGUACAUUCACUAAGUAUUUAUAUACAUGCUACUUAUUGAAGUAAACUAUCUCUUCACUAAAUAUUUAAUGCACUCUCAUAAGCACUAAUAGUUGAUUUAAUACCCCUUUUUUCUAAUUUAUUUUUUAUUUUUAUUAGUUUUCAUUAUUUCACUAAUAUAACUUGUACACUUACCUCAUGGGCAUUUAUGGAAACAAAAUUCCCUCUCUUUCCUGAAAACACUUUUUUAUGUUCACUUUUGACAUCAUGGGCUGAUUUUGUUACAAAAUUCUAAACCUCAAGGGAGAUUUGUGAUAUUUUUGAAACCACAGGGGAGGAGAGUGAGACUGUCAGAAACCUCAGGAGAGGUUUCUGAAAUUAUCCCUAGCAUUUUUUUAAACCCAUAUAUAUAUAUAUAUAUAUAUAUAUAUCUAUUUGAUUUCACCUGAACAGUACGAAUAGCAUGUAAUAUAUUUGUGGUUGAUUUCACCUAAUUAAAUAGGCUAAUUAUAGUUAUACACAUGCUAUUCAAUAGAUAUAUAUAUAUGGGUUUAAAACUAACGAUUUUGUUUUAAACCCAUGUAUAUAUCUAUUUGAUUUCACCAUAUGAACCUAUUUAAUAUUUGUGGCCUUUUCUCUGUUAGUAAUAAUUCAGUUAUUGAGUUGUACAAAAAGGUCAUCUAAUUAAUGGGUUCUAAUUCAAAUUCUAUAAUCAUGCUAACAAAUUGUAGUUUAAAUCUGAAGUUUGUAGUCACCACCUUUAAGACUAACUGUUGUAUUACUUCUAUCCAAAUUUAAUUCGAUAUAAACACUUGAUGAUAUUUAGGAUUAAUGUAUUUUUUGUAUUCACUUUCCGAGUAAAAAGAAAUGAACAUGAGUGAAAAACUAAUAAUUUUUUUUAAACCUAUGUAUAUAUCUAUUUGAUUUCACCUGAACAAUACAAAUAGCAUAUAAUAUAUCUCUAUUUGAUUCGCUAGAACAGGCAAAAUCAAAUAGAAAUAUAUUACAUGCCAUUCAUACUAUUUCGGUGAAAUCAAAUAGAUAUAUACAUGGGUUUAAAAAAAACUAUUCAUACAUAUGAUCAACGAGGGAUAAAAAUAUUCAUUUUGUAAAAUGUGAGGAAUGCAAAAAUUCAUUUUGUGAAAUGUGAGAAAUGAAAAAAUUCAUUUUAUGAAAUGUGAGGGACUACGGAUCGAAUUAUGUAAAUUUUGAUUUGACAAUUUUAUCUUUCAAAAAUGAUCACGUGCAAGAGAUGCAGUGGAUUCCGAGAAAAAACUAGUCAAAAACUUAGGUAGGGACUAAAUUUGACAAAUUUGCAUUUGUAAGGGAUUUAAAAUUACACUUUUAAAAGUGAUUGAUGAAAAAAGUCAUUUUGCAAAAUGUGAGGGAUGUUUUGAACGAUUUUUCCUUUCAAAAUAUAUACUUUUCGUUGUAUUAAAAAGAAAGAUCGGAAGAAUAUGAAAUCAAACAAAUAGUUUGAUUAUUUUCGUUUCGAGUAUAAUCUAAAUGAAAGAAAUUAGCAUUAACAAGAAAAGAAAGGAGUCAACAGUUCCCGUUAUUAGCAUUAGUUAGGGCAAAUUAUCCGUUUGGCCUUUGAACUUUUAGUUUGGGUAAAAUUAAGCCUCGAACUAUUUGUAGUCAAUUUUCAGCUCUUGAACUUGUAAAAUUGGGAACCCGUAGCCCUUUUGGCCAAUUUAUUCGGUUUUGCAACCGGAAAAGCCAAAUCAACGAAUCACGAAUUUGCAGCAUCACCACAGUACAUUCACCCCCAUUUGCACCAUCCCAGCAAAGACUCCACCACUUUUUUUCUCUUUAAGCAUCAUUAUUACAGCAACCAACCAACUCACCACAAGUACCUUUGUAAGAAACUUAUUCAACCAUUUCUACUACCGUAGAUGCUUCUCUGUUUCUCUUAAUUUUGCCUUCAACUUAGCAGCUUUUGCCUCGGAUCUUGAUGUUGCAGCUUCAAAUUCCUUUUUUUGUUUUUGUGUUGUAUUGAUCCUCCUUAAAAGGCUCCGUAUCAACUCAAUAGAAUGGCGACACAUCUCCUCGUCAAUCCAAUCCCAAUACCCAUAACCAUCAACUAAUUGUGAGCAAACAACGUACCUUCUCCUUGGGUUUCUAUCAAUCCACGAAAUAAUCAUCUUUGUGACUUUACCGCAGGGACAAAUAGGAAGCAGAGAGCUACGAAAUUUGCGCAUUUUUGCUUGUUUCGUGCACACUUCUCUUCCUUCCCUCUGCAUUUCGUUUGUUGAGAUCUAUUAGCGAUUUGGGUUGGGGAAAGGGAAGAAGAUGGAGUUGUUCACUUUUUGCUUAUUUUUAUGUGGACAAAAAGGCCCUUCUUUAAAGCAUAUUGCCAUUCGUGUGAUUUGCUUUCUGGUUGUAAAAUUGGAUAAACUAGCUAAAAGGGUCAUGGGUUCCAAAUUUUACAAGUUUGAGGGCUAAAAGUUAACUACAAAUAGUUAGAGGGUUUAAUUUUACCUAAACUAAAAGUUCAAGGGCCAAAUAGAUAAUUUGCCAUGUUAGUUAUUAUCACGUGAAUGAAUGUGUUAAGCUAUACUCUGCGAGUUUGAUUAGUUAUGUAAUCAUCGUAUCAUGAUGAGUCAAUUACUAAAAACGAAUGGUCAUAAACUGACAAAAUUAAUAGUUACAAAAUAUAAAGAAUGAGCUAGAGAGAUUAUUCGAAGUCUCUAAAUAUUUAGGGAGGAGAAAGAAGCGACAUGACAAAAUGAAGGAGAACACAUACUUGCACACAUAAAUAAAUGAAUAUAUAUAUAUAUAAAUGUAUAUGUAUAUGAUUGUACGUGUGCGCACACACACACAUAAAUACAUACAUAUAUAUAUAUGUACAUAUGCACAUAUAUAUACAUAUGUAUGUAUGUAUGUAUGUAUGUGGAUGUGUGCGUGUAUAUAUAUACAUAUAUGUAUAUAUGUAUAUAUUUGUACGUGUGAUAUAUAUAUAUGUACAUUUUGAGAAACUUGAAGUACAAAAACUUGUAUAUGUUUGUACGUGCGCGCAUACGCACACACACAUAUAUAUAUGUACAUACGCACAUAUAUAUAUAUACAUAUGUAUGUAUACACACACAUAUAUGUAUGUAUGUAUGUGGACGUGUGUGUGUAUAUAUAUACAUACAUAUAUUUAUAUAUACAUAUAUAUAUGUAUAUGUAUAUGUUUGUACGUGUGCACACACGCACACAAAUAAACAUAUGUAUGUAUACACACACAUGUAUGUAUGUAUGUAUGUGGAUGUGUGUGUAUAUAUAUAUGCAUACAUAUAUUUAUAUAUACAUAUAUACAUACACACACACACACACAUAUAUAUGUAUGUAUGUAUGUAUAUAUGCUUGGACCAUGUUCAAGACCUGAGCCGCCAUAUUGUGGGACCUUUCUACCAAAAUAUUAGAAUUGCUUAAUUCCAUAGGGAAUUUCACCAAUUUGGUCCCUAAACAUUUUCACUUAAAUCAAUUUCGCCCUUCAUUAAAUAUUUUAUCUAAUUUAGUCCCUGAACUAGUUUUUUACUUUCAAUGUAGGACUUUUUACUACAUUUUACUCAAUUUGCGUGGACCAAAGGGUAUAAUUGUCAUACUAGAUUAAUCUCCUGCAAUUAUCCACUGAAACGGAAUAGAUAUCAUUACAAAAAGGAACGAGCAUCUGGUUUGAAGACAUUAGGGCUCAUUUUUAGUUGCCCAAUUGUAUCUGCAAAGGAGCACAUGUAAGAUGCAUCAAGGGAAAAAGUAUUUCAAUGGAGCAUCAAGUUCAUGCAGCUUCCAACACUCAAAUCAUAAGGAUAAGGAAAGUGAAAAUUUAUCAGGGGUGAAAAGAGAGAAGGUAGGUCAGUACAAUGGAUUUGAGAGCGUGUUUUGUGAUUGUAAUGAACCAUGUCGAAUUGCUACUUCGUGGACAUUGUCAAAUCCAGGAAGAAGAUUCCACGGCUACAAGAAUUAUAAGGUAUUUUUUCUAUUUUGUUAAUAUAUUUCAGGGGAAUUAAUUUUUUAAUUUUGGUAGUAUAAUCGGAUAUGGGUAUUUAGUAGUAAUUUGUGCUUUAGAUUAACUUGCAAUAAUAGGUAAUCUAAUUGGGGUAUUGAUAUUGAUUAUAGUCACCGAAGGCUUGCAAGUACUUUUUGUGGUAUGAUCCACCAAUGCCGGAGAUGACAAAAAAUACAAUGGCAAAACUUUUGAAGGAACUAAGGAAAGCUGAACAAGAGAACCAGUUCAUGAAGAUUGAACUUGCAAGGUUGAAAGAAGAGAAGAAAAUGAUGAAGGCUGAAAUUUGAAAGUUAAGAGAUAAGAGCAAGUUGCUAGUUUUUGUUGCUGUUUGUUGUGGUUGCUUGUUAAUUGUUGUGCUUGUUGGCAACGAGAAAAGAGGACAUGCUAAACAAGACUUGGGGCUCCAAAUGUUAGUUUAGAUGAAUUAGAGAAAUGCAUGUAGUUGCUGUUAGCCUUUUGUUGACGAAGUUGUAAGGUGGCUAUGGUUGGCCUUAAUUUUGUUUGACUAUGAUUUGGUUUUGGCCAACUUUGAAAAUUUGGCAAAAUUCACACAAUGCGAACUAGCCUCUCAGAUUUGAAACUCAAUUAGCGUUGAAAUCAAAGUUUAAAACAAAAUAAGUAGAACAAGAAUCGGAGUUUUGAGCACCAUGAUAUGGUAGCUCAAAGUUGCUGCAAAAGUGAAAUUGUUAAGCAAAUUCCAGGUUUAAAUCACGUAUUUCGGGACUUUGUUUGAGCUUCAAAAUGGACUCGGAAUGGUACCAAAUUUGGUAUGAUUAUACUACCAUAUAAGGGCUAUUCCUCUGUCAAAUUUCAUAGAAAACUACAUAUGGAAAGUUGGUUAACAAGAUCAUUAAAGCUCCACGACUUUCAAAACAAAAUUGCCUUGGGGUUCCGUUUUUCCGUUUUAAAAAAAAAACGGUUGGCCAACAAAAUGUCUCAAACAUGGUCCAUUUGUGCAAAAAAUGUCUAAUAAACAUCCAAGAUACAUUUGGUAGGUGAUCAACACCAAGAAUUUCUAAACAACAAGUCCCAAUCAAAAUUUAAGCAUCCAACUAGCCAAAAGAGGGUUUUUCAUCACUAAGUCAGUUUCGGAUUUUGGCCAUAACUCACUCAAUUCAACUUGGAAUUGAGCGUGAUUGGUGAUAUUGAAAACUACAUUCAUAGGGAUACAAUUUUUUAGAAGAAAUCGUUUUAAAAAUCUGUCCACAACUAGCUCAUAUUUGAGCAUCAAGUCGCAGCUCAUAACAGGGCUUCCAGUACAAAUGUGAAACAGGACAGGCAGGUUCAGACGAUUGGUAUGGUUCACUCAGGUGGAAUCAUGGCAUGCAUUUUACACCGUUGGAAAACUGGAAAUGUCUAGUUUCUAAUGCCACAAACGGCACUCGAUUUUGACAUUGAAGCAAAGAUUUAUAGCCUAAACAAUAUCACUGCCAAAGUAAUACUGGACACAAUUCCAGUUUUGGGAAAUUUUCGAAAUCUCAACAUUUGGCCAACCAAAUCACGUAAUUUUUUGUGAAAACCUUCCACACUGUCCACACAACAUAUAUACAGCAUAAACAAGUUAAUUGAACUUUGAAAAAAUGCUUUAAGGGUCACGGAAUUGACAGGGACAGAAACAACAAAAUUCCCCUCUUCACUUUCUUUGAGUUUCCAUCCACAAUAUCAUUUAUUUCUACUAAAUUAAGCACUAAUCCAACACUAAUAACAUCAAAACUCAUUAAAUCAGUCCAUCAUAGUGGGAGUUCAUAGAGCCCACUCACCAAGUUUCUAACAAUUCAAAGCUACCCAUGAGAAUCCAAGAGCUCAUGAGUGCAAUACUACUUCCAUAAAUUAAGAUUCAAGAGGUUGAUCGUUGAUUACCUUCUUAGAUGACUAAAGAAGAAAAUUUCUGUCCUUUGAAGCUCAAGAAAACCAUGCAAAUGAAGCCCCUUUCCUAGCUUGAGUUGAUCUUCAAGUGGUUUGCAAGGUGUGUGUAAAUUUUGAGGUGAUUUGAGUGAGAAAUAGAGCAAGAAAUGGAAGAGCUUUAGGUUGUCUUCUUCCUUGGGUUGGCCGGCUGUCUUAGAGCAAGAGAGAGGGAGUGAAAUCUAAUGUUAUUGGCUUCUAAAGGAAGCUUAUAACUUGUGGCCCAAACUUGCUCAAGGUUAUCCACUAAAAUAAUGCACGAGCGCGCGUGUUUCGUGCUCGUUUUCUCUCAAGUUUAUUUCACUAGUGCACUAAACCUCUAAUACACUUUCAUUCAUAUUAUUAUUAUUCACUCUUAAUAGUCCAAAAAUAAAGGUCUUAAGCCCCUCGAUUAAUCGCGUACGCGAAAAACGCGUACCUCCGAUUUGUGCGCGAUAAAGUGAAAAUUUCAAGAAAUUCUUAUAACGAUAGUAUUACUAACUAAUACUUGAACACUUAAACAUAAAAUUACUUAUUUCAAGACUAGUGUACAAGUCUCCAAUUUUCCAACCUUAUUGUAUUCUCGAAUCGAUUAUUGACGCCAAACGCGUAUUCACUAUUCUCACUUAACGAGCUUUCAAAAAUCAAAUUUUAAAACGAGUCAUUUUAAAAAUAUAAGUAAGUCAUAGUUUCAUGUAAUUAGGUCUAAAAAUAUUGAAAUAAAAUAUUCGGAGUAAACGGCCAAAUAAAUAUUUAAAUGAGCUCGUAAUAGGAAUUUAAAAUAAGAAAAUUUGCGAGUGCUCACAAAACUUACCUAGCCAAAAACAUUUUAUUGGUCUAGGGGAUUGCAAUUUUGUUAGAAGACUCCUUACCAAUUCUAUAUUAUUAGUGAGGAUGCACUAUUUUCCUCACCAAAUACCUUGACUAUUCGCAACGAACUACUAGUUUUUGUGGGAGUUUCUGAAUUUAGUGGAAAUGAAAGUUUUCCUCGCCAUGGUAUUUGAGCCAUUAGUGAGAAGGUCCAUCCUUGUUAUUGAUCUGUUCCAUUGGCGAGAAAGGCACCAGCAUCCUCACUAAUGUCUUUUAGUGAUGAGCAUCUAGCGAGAAACUUGGUAAAGAAGCAUGUUCCUCACUAAAACUAAUUGGGGAGGAAGUCAAAGCUUUUGGCAUGGACUUUUGUUUCUUGCCAACCCCUUUUUUGUUGUAUUACAUUUGUCACAUAAGGUCUAACUCUCCAUUUUGCUCCUUAGCUUUCGUUCAAAGCUAGCUACAAGUACAAGAGUAGUUGAACUAAACUAUACUACCCUAUCUAUUCCUAAACUAAUUACUAGGAGCUUGUAGCUUAAGAGUUUCAUUUUUGGUGUUUCUCUUCUUUCCAAACUCUCAAACUUAUGCUCAAAUGAAGGACACAAUCCCCUAUUUAUGGAGAAAUCUUCAAGUCUCUUUGUGUUUUCUCUAAUGUGAACUCUUAACAAAAGUUGGCUUCUAAAGUAAAAUUUUGUGGUUCCAUAGAAUCUUGAUGAUUUGAGAGGAUAGAAGAUGUUAAAGUUUCUUGAGCAUGAUCUUUCAGCCACCAAACGUCUAAUCAAAUCUUCCAUCCAAAGCAAGAAAGUGUAUGCAUCAACAAAGUAAAGUUGCACAACUUGUGCAAGUUGCAUAUUGCUUUUCGGCUAAGAGAAUCCCUAGCUCAAAAUCAGUUCUUGCAAGAGCCGGCUUUGUGAACUGAUUUUUCUUUGAGAAGAAUUUUAAUUUCCUUAGAAACUGGUGUGUCGAGAAUUGCCAGCUCCAACCGGCUCUUGUCAAGAAUCGGUUUCUUCCACUGUUUCACAACCCUUCUGAUCAUCACAAAUUAGCCCUAAUAAUCAACAUUGGAUUUGAAUCAACUUUCCUACAAAACACAAAAGUUGUAGUCCUUUAAGUUAUUUUUCCAAUGGUGUAGGAAUUAGGUCAUUUGGAGGUUUGGAUGUUGAGACAUGUUCAAAAUACUAAGAACUACUUAGACAAGUAUUGUUACUAAAAUAUGCUUCAGUAAUUCAGAUAAUUGGCUAUGAAAAUGUGAGAACUGGACUUUUAUGUUAUUAAAUUAUAGAGCAUUGCCUUAUAUUCAAAAUGAAUUAAGAAUUAUCUCAAUUCGAUCUCUGUUACUCAAGUUAUAGCCAAAGUAUGUAAAUAUGUGACAUCCUCCAUUCCUUUUGCUCUUUGAUUCUUCACGCGCACUUCAUUUCUUGCUUUUUGUACUCCAUGCCAACUUCAAAUACAUUUCAAAUCAUCAAGUUUCACUUGAAUACUUCUUACUUAACUCCAAUUGAUGAUUGAAACGUUAAAAGCUUCAAAAACAUGACGUUUUCACCAUUUAAUACCAUACAAAUGCAACUUUCUCAUUUAUACCACAAAAUGCAACUUUUGACUAUAAAAUUAAUUAUUUAAAUCCAAAUUACAUAAAAACACACUAAAAAAACAUAUAAAUGACUACACAAAAAGUACAUAAAAUAAAUACUUAUCAAUUAUAUACUUCCUCCGUUCCAUUUAUUUAGUCAUGUUUGGAGAAUCCAACAUUUUAAGAAUAGUGAUUUGAUUUGUGAUGUUUGUACUUUCUUUCUGAUUUUACCCUCAUAAAUUCAAAAUUUAAAUUUGAAUGGUAACAUGUAUAUGAUUAGAAAGAAGGGCUAUAUUUGCAAGAGAGACUUAAAGAUGCUUGACUUUUCUAACAAAACAAUUGUUUUGGAACAUUUCAAAAUAGAAAGUAUGACACUUUUAAUGGGUAGUCCCACAUGUAUCUUACUUUUAAUCACCAGUCUUAAUACCAUAACUCUCAACCUUCCAACUCCCCCUCGUAGUUAUUCCUAGGUGAAGCUCAAUUUGGAUUAAAGCAAAUUAAGCUCACUCUAGACUUUUUGUUUGGUGGAUUGAUAGAAACUUGGAUUAAAGUUGAAAAUAUUUACCUAAAACCUCAUAUAAGAAUUUGAAAGACCAAAGGAUAUGUAAACUUAAAGAAAAAAGGAAAACCCAACCAUCUCUGUCAACCAAAUUUCCACUAAUGAGAAUGAAGAGUCAGGCAAAAACAAUUGUUUUUGAUAAUUAAUUCCCUUCAUUAAUUAAUAAUGUUCAAAAGAAUGUAAACCAUUUUUUUUUAUUUUCAAAGAAUGUACAUGUAUUAAAGUUGAGAAACAAUAAAGCAUGUCAUAUGUUGAACAAAUUCACCAAACGACUAACCAUUCCAACUCACAUAGCAAGAAAAAUAACAAUGUUAUAUACUAUAUUAUGCAAAACAAAAAAAAAAAAUUACUUGGCAAGGCAGUUUUGGUCACCCAAGUUCAAAUUAAAAAUAAAAAUCUAUAACCCCAUUCUAAUUACAUUGUUCAAAUCUUUUUCAUUUAGUAAAAUAAAAUAUUAAUUAAUGUCAUAAAUAUUAAUAUUGUACCAAUCAUUAAGAAAAUCAAUACUAAUGGCAAAGCCUUUUGUAUUUUGGUCAUUUUAUUUUUCAAUUAUUCAUCAAAAUCUUUAACAUGAAUUGUACAUACCAAGUCAUUUAUUCUAAAGCCCUUCCAGAAGUUGAUUUACGAUUCGAGCCUUUAUUUUACUAUUAUUUAUCAAUAUUUUUUACAGCUCCAUCUUUGACUUGUGCAUCUAUUUUUCCUACUUAACAAUGUUGUAUGGUGUAUAAUAACUUAAACAUUUAUGUUUUAAUAAGUGUAACGACAUUAUGAAUAUAAAUAAAUUUGGCAAGCAUAAUGGUGUUAAUAUUUGUGUCACAAUUUAAGCUAUAAAUCAACCUUACCAUUUACGAAAGAUUGAAAAAUCUUAGAUCUAUGACUUUAAAAUAAUGUAUUCUAAAAAUAAUUGCAUAAAGCAAAAGAAAUAAUACAGAUAUUGUAUCAUGAUACAUGACAAUAUGUUUUGACAAAAAAAAUAAUUGAUAUAUAAUAAUCAUGCGCAAAUCACAUGAAGUGUUACUUGUACAACAAAGUUGGUAUAAAAUUUACAAUUACACGAAAACUAUACAAGUUAUAUCAAGUAUAUUAAGAAUUACAUGAUCCGUAUGAACCGGACAGAAUUCAACUUGUGAGAUUUGGAUCCAUGGUGAUUUAGCUUGCUAGUAAAGCAAUAUGUCCGCAGGAGUCGAAAGCUAUGUCUCUUUUACUGUUAUUCUGCAGAAAGGCUUAGGUAGCAAGCUUAUAAUCUUCCUCUAUCAGCUCCUUCACCAAUGGUUGCUUGAGUAAACUGCGGUCCAGCUUAGGACAUGAGUGCAAUGUUACAGAUUCAAGUUGGCAGUCUCUCGAUGGGAGAGGAUCCUCCAAACUUCUUUCCCCUUCAUAUAGAAGCCUAAACAGUUGAGGCAGAUAGUAAAGCUUUAUUUUUCUCAAACGCGGAAGGGCAGAGAAAUCAUCAUUACCCAUCUCAUCACUCCUU
RNAcentral lists this long non-coding RNA (67929 nucleotides) under Coffea arabica (coffee). RNAcentral describes it as "long non-coding RNA (CARA_LNC002663)". The record is from RNAcentral. Lineage: Eukaryota; Viridiplantae; Streptophyta; Magnoliopsida; Gentianales; Rubiaceae.